RNAcentral lists this long non-coding RNA (79395 nucleotides) under Vitis vinifera (wine grape). Its description in RNAcentral is "long non-coding RNA (VVIN_LNC000787)". The record is from RNAcentral. Lineage: Eukaryota; Viridiplantae; Streptophyta; Magnoliopsida; Vitales; Vitaceae.
AUGAGGGACUGAUUAUGGUCAUAAGUACCUUUUUCCCAUUAAUUUCUUGCAUGUGCUCUGCUGAGAUUAUGUUUUUGACAGUCCAAAUCAGGGCAAACCAACAAACAGCUUUAUGUUAACUUUUACAAACUGCCACAUUUUCAGGUUAAACAAACAGAGAUAAAUCUUGGUGAAACUAGAAGUAAUACAACCUGUUCUGUGGAGAUAAAAGAAAGGGCAGCAGUACUGGUGGCUGCAGAAAUUGAGGCAUGUAGAGACGAUAGAACCCCCAAGAUACCUCUUCAUGAGAAAGUCCAGAAAGAGUGGGCUUGUGCUGUAUGCCAGUUCACAACCCAAACUGAAGCGACCUUCAAUUCCCACCUUCAAGGGAAGAGACAUCAGGCCAUUUCUGAGCAGCUGAGAGCCAAAAACCAGGCAACCAAAACCAAUUGUUCCCCAUCUGCUUCAAUGGCCAAGAAAUCUGAUCAGUCCACCAAAGAGGAGCAACCAAAGUGUACUUCCAACAAUCUGAAUUCCAAAAACAAUGGAAUCUCAGCUGCUUCAACAGUGAAGAAACUUGAUGAGACCAAAGAUGAUGAGCAACAAAAGUCUGCAUCUAGCAAUGGACCAAACCAGAAGAAUAACAAAAAGCAAGAGGUACAGACCAAUGAGCAAGGCCAUCAGAAGAACUCAAGGCAAACUGGUGAUGGAAUGAAAGAGUUGAGAUCAUGGUGCAAUAUCUGUAAUGUAAGCUGCACAAGGGAGCUUGACCUGGCCUCUCAUCUCAAUGGAAGGAGGCACUUUGAUAGGAUAAAGCAGCUGUCUGAAUUAUGGUGCAGUAACUGCAAUGUAAGGUGCAACAGUGAGGUUGAUAUGGCCUCUCACCGAAAUGGGAGGAGGCACUUGGAGCAGCUGAAGGAACAGUUAGGAUUAUGGUGCAGUAUCUGUAGUGUGAGUUGCAACAGCAAGGUGGACAUGGAUUCUCACCUAAAUGGGAAGAGUCACUCGGAUCAGAUCAAGGACCAGUUAAGAUUAUGGUGUGGGGCAUGUAAUGUAACCUGCAAGAGUGAGCGCAACAUGGCCUUUCAUCUGAAUGGGAGGAAGCACUUAGAGAAGAAGGGGAAUACCUGAUUUGCUCUUCAGAUUAUUGAUACUUACAAAUGGUUUUAGUUAGAAGCAUACAGACCAGUGGGUGGUGCUCACAGAUGCCUCUAUUUUGUUGUAUGAAGUAAAAACAGUAUUUCCAUGUCCAGAAAUCAACCACUUGUUUAGUGCAUGCAUGGCUGGUUCAAAAUUAAACCUAAUUGUGAAUGACUAGGAGCAGGGAGGGAAAAAUUGAAGUGAAGAAUGUAAGAUUAUGGCUUCAUUUUUAUUUUUUCCUCUUCUGAAAAUUGUAAGAUUGUGUUAGGAGGAGCUGGAAUGGGUUCAAAUCAGGAAUUAAGACCCAGUUCCAAGACAUGGAAAGUGUCUUUAGAUUAUGUUAAGUUAUUUCCAUUUUUUUUUCUUUAUUUACGGUAAGAGGGAGCAUAAGGAACGAAAAUGAAUAUUUUUUUUUUUUCGAAUAAAAAUGAAUUUGAUAAUUUCAAUUAUUGUGUUUGGAUGUAUUUCGGAAUGUAAGAUUAAAAUAAUUAUUUGUUUUCAUUUUAGUGUUUGAUAAUAAUGAAAGUAUGAAUUAAAAAAUAAAUUGAUAAUAAUAUUCUUAUAUUUAAUUUAAAAUAUAUAUAUAUUUUUUAUUUUAGAAGAAUAUGGGUUAAAAGUUUUUUUUUUUUUUUAAAUAAUAAGCUUAAGAAAAAUAAUUUUUACUCAAUAAAUAAAAUUAAUCAUACAAAGUCAUAAAAACCAAACCAAAAUAUAAGGGUAAAAUAAUAAUUUUAAACUAUUCAUUUAAGUUAUCCAAAUGCAUUCCGACUCUUCAUUCUCUUAUACCAAAUACCGUCUUUAAGUAUUUGUCAAACUUAUUUUUUUGCAAAAUAUCAAUAUUUUACUAAUAUUUUUAUCGAUUAUUUGCCGAUAUUUAUCGCCACGUCACCAAUUCUUUGAGUUUGACUUUCAAAAUUUUGAAAUGAUCUUUGAAGUCCAGUUCAGCCCAAAUCACUACACCCAUGAACUCAUCUACAAAAGGGAACGGCUGGGCCACCACACUAAUAUGGCCCAUACAUGGGACCUCGUAAAAGAAUACCCAUCUUCAAAAAUAGGGACCAUAUUAAAUUAUUAAUGUAGCUAUAGGAAGCAUUUGAGGACAAGGGUUAUGAUUUUUCCCUUUUCUUUUUCUCCUUAAUUUUCACAUCACCCAACAACACCACUCUUAAUUCACACAAAUUUGAAGGUUUGGAAUGAGACUUCUUCAUAAUUAUAUUGUAAUUAUGUUAUAAUAACCAUGUCGUUUUUGGAUUUAUUUAUUCAGUCCAUCUAAAUCUUUUGUUUAUUCGCGUCAAAACAAUAUAUUUAUAAUCGAAUCCAUUUAUGACAUGUUCAUCUUUUAUAAAUUCAUUAAUUUUAUAUAUUUAAAAUUUAUAAAAGUUAAAUAUAUUUUUUCAAUUAUGAAUAUCAUAUUACUAAAAUAUUAAAUAACUAAUUAACUUGAAAUGUUUUAUAUUUCAUUAAUUAUUUUAUAAUUACAAAAUUAAGUGAAAUAAUAAAUAGGUUAAAAUAUAUAUUUUAUUUUAGUUAAAAAUUAUAAAUUGUUAUUGAGACACAUAACUACUAAAAUUCUACCCAUUUGACUAUCAAACAAACAACUUAAGUUUUUAGUCAUAAUUUAAGCUUAUGAUAAACUCUAUUUACAAAAAUUAGAAACCAAAAUCAAAUUCUUCCUAGACUCAAAAAUAUAAAGACAAUCUUUUAACUUUAGAAGAGAACUAUCAUCUAAGAUAAGGGUAACACAUCCCAUUGCCUGUACAACAAUUCUUGCUUCAAAAGCUAAUGUUAGGUACAUAUCCCUAUCAUUCAACCUUUCCCUUAGCUAAAACCCCUAUAAAGAAUUAUAAACAUGAUCAAUGGCUCCAAAAUUUAUCCACCAAGAGUUAGUGGAAUCUAAUACUAAACAUGAUUCAACUAAAAGAGAAUGAUGCAUACCUGACUGUCUCUUUAAGAACUAAGGGCAUUCCUUUUUCUAAUGGCCUUUUUUACCACAAAGGAAACAUUUGUCAUGACCCUUACUCUUCUUCUUCUUCUCUUGCCCUUGAACUUUCCCUUCUGUUUGGUGAAUUCUAUAAUGUUCUUAUUUUGGUUAGAAGAACCUAAAGAACACUUAACUGCCAUAUAAAUACCUCUCUGAUCCUUGAGAAUUCCCUCAAUCAUUUUGUGUUCUCUCAUCAGUUCGGUUAUAGUUUAAGAAAAAAAUUGUUUUUUUUAUGUGACUAAACUUGGAAUGAAUGUCCAAGUUGCAUACAUACUCGGGUUGAGAUCAAGUCAUAAUGUAGUUUAAGAAAAAUAUUUUUUAUUUUUUAUUUUUAUUUUUUAUCUGAUUGAACUUGGAAUGAAUUUCUAAGCUACUUACGUAUCCAGGAUGGGAUCAAGUUCUAACAUAGUCACAAUGCAGUUCAAGAAUUAUUUUUUUUUCUUUUUUUGUGCUCCAACUUUUGCCAAGACUAAAGAUCUUAAUUUUGCGAGCAUGUCCUAACUUUUGCCUAGGUCGCCUUUCCAAGUUUUCAAUUUAGCAAACUAGGUUUUUUUUUUUCUUUUUAGUUCUCUAACUUUUGCCAAGACUAAAGAUUUUAAUCUUGUAAGCAUGUCAUAACUUUUACAUAAGUCGAAUUUUUAGGUUUUCAUAGUGCUGGAUUUUUUUUUUGUUUUUUGUUUUUUUUUUGUGUCGUAGUCAAUUUAAGCUCAUAUGGGUUGGAAGCGAUGUGUAGUUUGUUGGGAUUGAGCCCUUAAAAGCAAGACAUGAUGUAAUAAAGUUAAACUUAACUAUCCCCUUACUAUCCUUUUGGUGUAUCAACAUUGAUUUAAACAUUCAACCCAUAUCUCUUACAUUGUAUAUGAUUUAGAAGCAUUAGGAGUUGUACAGAAGAUACAAGUUAUGUGUUCUUUGUAAGUAGGUGAGUUAUCCAUAGUCAUUUCAUGGAUUUGGGCAAUCUAGUAGAGACUAUAGUGCACCACCUCCUAAUUGAAGGGAUGACUUGUCUUGGCCGUUGGGAUGAGUUUCCUAUGGUGAGCGUACUAGUGUAUAUGAUGCACAUUGGAUAGGACCUAUGACAAAUCAUGAUGCAAGGCUAUCAAUUGUCAUGAUUCACCAAGUUACUAUACUACAUGGACUCUCAACCUUGAGAGGACAUUGAACCUGUGUCAAAAUCAAUAGAAAGUUUUGACCUAUGGGCGAGACCCUAAAGUAGUCAUAUAUCCUUAUGAAUUAGGUCAUUGUUGAUGGAGGCUAGUGAUAAUAGGCAUUCUCAAUAGAGGCACCAUGAUAUGUCAUGCGAUUGAGAUGGUGUGUCCCUUUGGGUGAUCCAAGGAACAUGUGAUCAUGAAAUUUGUGGCCACAGUAAUUCCUUUAGUGGAAUUUGACAUAUGCUCAAGGAUUUGAGAGAUAAUAUUGAUAGGUGAUAACACUAUCUUGUUAGAUUAUAGACACCAGUUUCAUGGGGAAUCUGCAUGUAGUGGAUAGUAGGUCAUGAAUGCGAGCUUUGUCUCGUUGUUAUUUACAUAAGGUACUGGAGUGUAGUUGAUUCUCUUUAGUAGAAUGUUAAAUCAACUUCAAAAUUGGAUUAUGAGGGAGCCAGUACUCCUAUGGGUCUCAAUGGUCCCCACUCUAAGCUUAUAUACCAUGAUGACAUAAUUUAUGAGGGUUGGAUUGGCUUUAGGUUCAUUCUUAUGCAUAAGGGCAUUUUGGUAAUUACUCAAGGUUGCAUAGGGGAUAAUAAAUAAGGUCUCUAGAUUGGACUAAUUGAUUAAUUAGAUGGCCUUAUGUGGUUAAUUAAUCAAUUAAGACAUGUUAGGGCUAGAUUAAGUGACUCAAGCCUUGAUGGGUUCAAGUCACUUAAGCCUAGUGGGUAACCGUAUAAAUACCCCCUUAUGGGUUAGGGUUUUCUAAUGACUUUUAGUUAGUCAUCUUCCACUUUUAGAAAAAUAGAGAGAGUCAAAGCUUCCUCCUUUCCACUGCCCACACUUUGGAAUGCCAAGAUCGUGGAUCGAGUCAUCGAACGAAAGAUCUUGGGUGUAUGAGACCUUCGAACUCUUUAGGCUUCUUCUUCGUUGGAUGGAUUUUGAUCUAGGAACAUCUAGAUCACAUGUAUGUGUUAUAAAAUUUGGUUAAUUCAACCUAAGGUAAUCAUCCUAGAGAAGGGGCGAAUAGGGUGAUGAUCUUUUUUUGAAAAUUUAAAUUAUGUGAAUGCAAGAGACAAUUAUAUGCAAAAUAUAUAGCAAAACCAUAUAAAAACAAUUGCAUAUAAAGUAAAAGGGUAAGGAAGAGAGAAAAUAAACACAAGAUUUUUAUAGCGAUUCAGUGCAACCCGACCUUCAUCCAUUCUCCUCUAGCUUCAAUCCCAAACUUGAGGUUCCACUAAUUUAAGGCUUCCAACCCAAGCCUUCAAGCAAUACAAUCGGAUUAUGGUUCCAAUCAAACCUCUUGAAAUUUUAGUUCUAAGCACAUUUUACAAUCUUCAAGAGAUACCUCACUCUUAAACAACUCCUUAAGUGAUACCCCACACUUGAGAAUCCCUAAGUGAUACCUCACACUUAGAUUUUUCAUCUCAAAGAUUUAUAAAUGAAGAUAGGAAAUUGUUAGCCCAAGGGCUCUCCUAAUCGGGUUUUGAUGAUAAAAAAUCAUGGUUAAAUGACUAAUUGGUUUAAUGGUUAAGAAUCUCAGGCAUAAACUUGAAAAUUCAUCAAAAGACCAAAUGGAUACAAGAUCGAGACGUUUGGAAGACUUGUGAUCAUAGGAAACUAAUGUAAGAUGAAUGCAUGAGUACACUUAGGAUUUUCAUACCGUUUCAUGCAAUUUAGAAAACUCGGUUUAUUCUUUAAAACUUCAAUUUCAUUAAAACUUGAGUUUUAACAAAUGUACCUUAGGCAAAAUGUUUUAAAAUUGGCAUAAUAAUUCACCUAAAAACCUUGCUUAAGUGUUAGAAAAGAAAGGAAUUGAAAAAUAUAGGUUUUCGGGGCCAAAAGGCUCAACCGAUCGAGGCUAUGACCAACCUGCUCAACCGGUUGGGGAAUCGGUCGACCGGUUGCCCCUGUCCGGUCGAGGUUCGAUAGAGGGAUGCACAAAAUUUUCUUUCUCUCCCAGUAGCCUUCUCUUCUCGGUCGAGGUCUGGUUGAGGACCGAUCAAGGUUCGAUCGAGGCAACGGUAACCUGUCAAGCAUUAAAUGUUCCAACGGCUAGUGAACCGGUCAACCCCUAGCUCGACCAGUUGAGGUUACCUUUUGCUGUUUUUGGCUCCCGAGCUUAGAAACCUAUAAAUUGAGAGCUCCACUUUAUUUAUUGACGAGAGAACACUUGCAAUCAAUUGUCUACCUACCUGUUCUUGAUCAAAAAACUCUCAUUUCUUUCUUUGUGCAUUAAAUCAUCACUUGCAUAUCCUUUAGUGCACUCUUAUGUGUCAUCCUAGCUUUGUCUUAUAUUUGAGCUAUCCUUAAGCUAGGUUGAGGGAUUCAUUCUUGUAAAAACUGAGUGUCAAAGCCUUCAAGAGGUUUAAAUCUUGAAGAGAUUGUGUAAGAGCCCAUUGGAGCCAGAAUCCAAGUGUAAGAAGAUUGGAAGCUUGGUUGAAGCUUCAAGUUAGUGGAACCCUCACUCGGUUAAAAGAUUGAGGAGAGUGGAUGUAGGGAAGGAAGUGUCGAACCACUAUAAAACCCAAGUUUGAAUUCUCUAACUCUAUCUCUUUAUUUUGCUUAUAUUGUGCUUGAACUCGUUGUGAUUGAAAAGAAUUUAAAAAACCCAAUUCAUCUCCCUCCCCCCUUUUAGGUGUUUUUCUUAAUUAAGCAUAGCAUUUAUUUUCUCAAUUGGUAUCAGAACUAGACCUCUUGUUUUUUUUUUUUUUUUAAAAAAAAAAAUUAAUCGUCUAAGAGGAUAUGACUAUUGCAUCAAGCUCAUCUCAAGCUAAAAUUUUUUCAAAACAUAGAGCUUCAUUCUUUACGGGAUCCGACUAUCCCUAUUGGAAAACUAGAAUGACUUGGUACUUACAAUCUACUGAUUUAGAUGUAUGAGACGUCAUUGAAGAUGGCCUAACUUUUCCCACUAAACUAGUUGAUGGAGUUUUGGUUCCAAAACCCAAGCAAGAAUGGAAUGAGCUUGAUAGAAAAAACUUUCAAUUAAAUGCUAAAGUCGUUUUUACUUUGCAAUGUGCUAUGGAUAGAAAUGAAUAUAAUAGAAUAUGUCAAUGCAAAUCGGCUAAAGAAAUUUAGAGGUUGCUUGAAAUAACUCAUGAAGGAACUAAUCAAGUGAAAGAGUCAAAAAUUAAUUUACUUGUUCAUAACUAUGAAUUGUUUUCAAUGAAAAAAAAUGAUACUAUUGUUGAGAUGAUUACUAGGUUCACCGACAUUGUCAAUGGUCUUGAAGCUUUGGGAAAAACCUACAAGGAAUCCGAGAAGGUGAUGAAGAUAUUGAGGUCUUUCCCAUCAAAGUGGCAUACCAAGGUCACUGCAAUUCAAGGAGCAAAAGACUUGACUAAGCUACCUAUGGAAGAGCUCAUAGGGUCAUUAAUGACAUAUGAGAUCAAUUUGACAAAGAAGCUACAAGAGGGUAAAGACAAAAAGAAGAAGAACAUAACCCUCAAAGCUAUAACCAAGGAAGAAGAAGAUGUUGAAGAAGAAAAACCAAGUGAUGAAGAUGAUGAUUUAGCCCUCAUCACAAGAAAGCUCAACAAAUACAUGAGAGGUGAAAGGUUUAGAGGAAGAAAGUUCACCUCUAGAAGAGAUCCUUCUAAAAAGGAAUCUUCAUCCCAUGGUGACAAGGAGAAAUGAGAAGAUAAAAGAGAUUUGAUAUGCUUCAAAUGCAAAAAACUGGGACACAUUAAAUAUGAUUGUCCACUCUACAAGAGUGAAGCCAAGAGAAGAAUGAAGAAGGCAAUGAUGGCCACUUGGAGCGAAAGUGAAGAAUCCUCCGAAGAAAAAAAGGAGAAGGAAGUAACAAACAUGUGCUUCAUGGCAAUAGAUGAUCUUGAUGAGGUAAACUCUAACUUUAGUGAUGAAGAUAUGUAUGAUGUUUUUGAAGAAUUAUAUGAGGAUUUUGAAAAACUUAGUUUGAAAAAUAAUUCUCUUAAAAAUAAAAUUCAAGAACUUGAAAAAGAACUUGAAGAAGUAAAAGAAAAAGUUUCAAUUGUUGAAAUAUCUAAAACUCAUCUUGAAAAAGAAAAUAAGAUUUUGAGAAGUGAAAAUGAGAUUUUGAAAAAGAAAAAUGAAUGGUUGACCUCCUCUCUUUCAAUUUUCUCUUGUGGAAAAAAAUAUUUUGAAAUGAUCUUAGUUAGCCAAAAAUGUAUUUUUGACAAACAAGGGUUAGGAUUCAAAUCUUCAAAAAAUCAAAAGUAUUUUAAAAACUACUUUGUAAAAGAAUCCGCAAGUGUAAGUCAUUCUACCACUUGCAACUUUUGUAGAAGAGGAGGAGACAUUAGUAGUACAUGUCUCUUAAGAAAUGGUUCUCAAAAGAAUUCAAAUGCUAAAGCUAAAAAGGUUUGGGUUGAGAAAUCCAAAGUCACUAACCCUCAAGGACCCAAAAAGAUAUUGGUACCUAAAUCAACUUAAAUUUUAUUUUGUAGGGUUCAAAGAAGGAUAAGUGGUUCUUGGAUAGUGGAUGCUCAAGACACAUGACCGGGGAUGAAUCCAAGUUUGUUUUCCUUACAAAGAGAAAGGGAGGAUAGGUUACCUUUGGAGACAAUGCAAAAGGAAGGAUCAUUGGUCAAGGCAACAUUGGUAAUGACACAUCCUCUCUUAUUGAAAGUGUUUUAUUAGUGGAUGGUUUAAAACAUAAUCUUUUGAACAUAAUUUAACUUUGUGACAAAGGUUUUAAAGUGAUUUUUGAAGCAUUUCAUUGCAUUAUCAAAGAUAUUCAAAAUGAUAAAACCAUCUUCAUGGGCCAUAGAUGUGAUAAUUUUUAUGCUAUAAAUAUUUCAAAUAUGAUGGCCAUGGUAAAUGUUUUUCAAGCAUGCAUGAUCAAAGUUGGUUGUAGCAUAGGAGGUUGGGACAUGCUAACAUGGACCUCAUUUCCCAACUCAACAAAGAAGCACUUGUUAGAGGCCUUCCCAAAAGAAAUUUUCAAAAAGACAAAGUUUGUGAAGCUUGUCAAAUGAGAAAGCAAAUCAAAAACUCUUUUAAAAACAAAAAUUUCAUUUCAAUAACUAGGCCUGCAUAUGGAUUUAUUUGGUCCCUCUAGGACACCAAACCUUGGAGGAAAAUCUUAUGCAUUUGUUAUUGUGGAUGACUUCUCUAGAUACACUUGGGUCUUAUUUUUAAGUCAAAAGAAUGAAGUCUUUUUUGAGUUUUCAAAGUUUUGCAACAAGGUUCAAAAUGAAAAAGGUUUUACAAUUUCUUGUAUAAGAAGUGAUCAUGGAGGAGAGUUUGAAAAUAUUGAUUUUGAAGACUAUUGCAAUGAGCAUGGUAUUAACCACAAAUUUUUGGCUCCUAGAACUCCUCAACAAAAUGGGGUAGUUGAAAGGAAAAAUAGAACUCUUCAAGAAAUGGCUAGAACCAUGCUAAAUGAAAACAAUUUACCAAAAUACUUUUGGGCCGAAGCAAUUAACACUUCUUGUUAUGUUUUAAAUAGAAUUUUAUUGAGGCCUAUUCUUAAAAAAACUCCCUAUAAGCUUCGGAAAAACAAGAAACCCAACAUUAGCUAUUUCAAAGUCUUUGGGUGCAAAUGCUUUAUAUUAAAAACCAAAGACAAUCUUGAAAAUUUUGAUGCAAAAUCGGAUGUUGGAAUUUUUCUUGGUUACUCAACUUUAAGUAAAGCCUUUAGAGUUUUUAACAAAAGAACCAUGGUUGUUGAGGAGUCCAUCCAUGUUAUUUUUUAUGAAUCUGACAAUUCUCUCCAAGAAAGAGAGAGCUUUGAUGAUGAUUUAGGCUUGGAGACCUCCAUGGGAAAAUUACAAAUUGAAGAUAGAAGGCAACAAGAAGAAGUUGUAGAGGAUCCCAAGAAAGAAGAAUCACCUUUGGCACUACCUCCUCCUCAACAAGUGCAAAGUGAAUCAAGCUAAAACCUUCCUAAAGAUUAGAAGUUUGUCAUCAACCACCCACAAAAUCAAAUUAUAGGUAAUCCAUCUAGUGGGGUAAGAACUAGAUCAUCUCUUAGAAACAUUUGCAAUAAUCUUGCUUUUAUCUCUCAAAUUGAACCUAAAAAUAUAAAUGAUACUCUAGUUGACGAAAAUUGGAUGAUUGCUAUGCAAGAAGAGUUAAAUCAAUUUGAAAGAAGUGAAGUAUGGGAAUUAGUGCCAAGACCUCAAAAUCAAAGUGUUAUUGGAACUAGAUGGGUCUUUAGAAAUAAAAUGGAUGAAAAUGGCAUAAUUAUAAGGAAUAAAGUAAGAUUGGUAGCCCAAGGUUUUAAUCAAGAAGAAGGGAUAGAUUAUGAAGAAACCUUUGCUCUCGUAGCUAGAUUGGAAGCCAUUAGGAUGCUACUUGCCUUUGCACGUUUUAAAGACUUUCUUUUAUAUCAAAUGGAUGUGAAAAGUGCUUUCUUAAAUGGCUUUAUAAAUGAAGAGGUAUAUGUUGAACAACCACCCGGUUUUCAAAGUUUUAACUUUCCUAAUCAUGUUUUUAAACUUAAAAAUGCACUUUAUGGUUUGAAACAAGCACUUAGAGCAUGGUAUGAAAGAUUGAGUAAAUUUCUUUUGAAAAAGGGUUUUAAAAUGGGAAAAAUUGACACAACUCUUUUCAUAAAAAUAAAGAAAAUGACAUGCUCUUAGUGCAAAUAUAUGUUGAUGAUAUCAUUUUUGGAGCUACUAAUGUCUCUCUUUGUGAAGAAUUUUCUAAAUGCAUGCAUAGUGAGUUCGAAAUGAGCAUGAUGAGAAAACUUAACUUCUUCCUUGGACUUCAAAUCAAGCAACUAAAGGAAGGAACCUUCAUCAAUCAAGCAAAGUAUAUAAGAGAUCUCCUCAAAAGGUUCAAUAUGGAGGAAGCGAAAACAAUGAAGACUCCAAUGAGUUCAUCCAUCAAGCUUGACAAGGAUGAGAAAGGUAAGUCCGUUAACUCAACUAUGUAUAAAGGCAUGAUAGGUUUUUUGCUAUAUUUGACCGCUAGUAGACCUGACAUCAUGUAUAGUGUAUGCUCGUGCGCUAGAUUUCAAUCUUGUCCUAAAGAAUCUCACUUAAGUGCCGUAAAAUGAAUUCUUAGAUAUUUAAAAGAGACAAUGGACAUAGGCCUAUGGUAUCCUAAGAGUGAUAACUUUGAAUUAAUUGGAUUCUUAGAUGCCAACUUUGCCAAUUGUAAAGUUGAAAGGAAAAGCACUAGUGGCACUUGUCAUUUCCUAGGACACUCACUUGUUUCAUGGCAUAGUAAUAAGCAAAAUUCGGUAGCCUUGUCAAAGGCGGAAGCAGAAUACAUAGCAGCUGGUUUAUGUUGUGCACAAAUCCUUUGGAUGAAACAAACACUUAGUGAUUUCAAUUUGAUUUUUGAGCAUGUUCCUAUUAAACGUGAUAACAUUAGUGCCAUAAAUAUUUCAAAAAAUUUGAUGCAACACUCUAGGACUAAGCAUAUAGAGAUUAGACACCAUUUUCUUAGAAAUCAUUUACAAAAAGGUGACAUUACACUUGAAUUUGUAAGCACAAAAGAUCAACUUGCCGAUAUUUUUACAAAACCUCUAAGUGAAGAGCAAUUUUUUUAUAUUAGAAGACAACUAGGGGUGAUUUCUUUAUAAUCAAAUGAUUACUUGAUGAAUUCUUGAUUGAAUAUACCUUAUGAUUGCGUGAAUUUCACAUCAUAUGCAUCAUAUAGAAAUAAUCUUAGGAAAAAGGUCAAAUUUUGACCAAAAAUCAAAAUUCCCUUGGCAUUGGAUAUCAAAAAUUGGGGAUUUCAACUGAAAAGGGCAAGGGAAGGAUCACGAGACAAGCAAAAGCCAAAAAAUUAGAGCGUUGACCAUUGACCAUUGACCAUUGACCAAGCGGUUCGUCGGGGCUGGGAAUUUAAAGAGACCCCCGCGCUUUAUUUUUUUCACUAUUCCCCUCAAUUCCUUGAAAACUCUUCACAUACCUGCUUCCAGAGACCACUUUGGGUUGAAUCUUGGACCAUUUGAAGGGCUUGGAGUUGUUUUUGGGACGUUUUUAAGACUAGGGUUUCAAUCUGAAACCUAAGGUUUCCAUUUUUAGGAGCAAUUCCUCUCAGACCACGUGCAUCAGCCAGGCUCAACUCCUUCUCCUUGCGCUUAGGGCUUCCGGUUGGAUUUCAUUCUCUCUUGUUUGGUUUCAUUCUCUCUUCAAACUUCUUUUUCUUCAUUUUCCGUUCUUUGGAUGGCGCCUAGGAGAGAGACAACUACCUCUAGGGCUCAGGGCAAGCGCCCUGCUGAGCCAUCUCAACCUGAGCAGAUGGAGGCUCACCGAAAGGCGAGGUAUGACACGACCCUCUGUGGACCCGCAUUUUUCACGUGCGUCCCCACUCGAUCGGCGAGACUCGCUUUUUAUUUGUGAAAAAUUGAUCUUUAAAAAAAAAAAAGUUGGAGUCGCCACCUAUUUUAUUUUUAUUUUGAAGGGAAAAUAAAACAAGAAAGAAAAACCCUAAAAAGUGACUCCAUGGUUUUGGAAAAAGCAUGUCUUUGAGAAACCCGAGUCUAAGUCCGGGGAUCAGGUUACUUAUUGGGAAGGUACCUCUAGGAGGUAGCACCCCUCUAAGCCCUAAAAAGGUCUCUACUGACUAAGUUAAGGGAAGCGUGGCAAUUAAAUGGUUGAUCAUGGAUACCUAAGUAGGCUAGGUGAUUCCAAAAACAUAACAUAUCAAACAAGAUCAAAUCACAAUUAAGGAGAGUUAAAAAUGCGUACCUGGACGGCUUCCCAAACGCUAUCAUAAAACAUAAGAGAUUAGUUUGGAGAUACAUCACACAACAUUUGUUUUACUCAAGCAAAUCAGGCAUAUAUCAAGACAUUCAAGAAUCACGUCAAAUAUGGAUAUGGUCAUCAAUGACAUACAAGUCCAUAGAAUUCUCGAAAAAAGGAUGAAAAUGAGCGUACCUGGAUAGCAAGCUAGAGCGCCUUUAUGGGAAACAAGGUUAACCCAAUAACAAAUUCAAGCAUAUCUCCAAGAAGAAUCAAAAUCAAUUGAAUACCAAAAAAUCAUCUUUAAAAUCAAUAUUAGUGAAGAUAUUAGGAAUGUAGGACCCCCCACCAAAGUCCAUAUUACUUUUGCACGAAUUGAUUCAAUGAAUUCCAUUAUUUGGAAUCGUGAAGCUUAUUCAUGCUUGUCAAAAAUCGAGAAAAUCAUAAAAUAGUUGAAGAUGAUGAAAAUGCAUGCCGGAAGGGAAAAUGGCAGCAAAUAGUAUGUUAAAAUUUGGAUUUUAUGCCUAGAGACUUCUCAGGAAUUUUAAAUAAAACUAGAAUUAUUUUUUACGGGAAAAGAUUUUGAAAUCCAGAUUUAAAAUGUGUAAGAUAACAAAAAGAAUAAGGAGAAACAUUAGGAGUAUGGUGUGUGGCAAGGUGACCACUAUAUGAGUGAGGUCUGGAGGUGCACUUGAGACUAAAUGGUUGAAACAGAUUGCAUAGGGAGCAUUCUGUACACCACUAGUUGUCUAGAAAGAAACUGAAUGUGUUCGUUUCCGAGCCCAUGUUCACCGGAGUUUAGGGUGCCACCUCAUUUAAAAAAAAGGGCUUCAAUACAACUCUAGUUUCUCAAGAUCACAAUCUGAAUUAUCAACAGAAGCUUCUGGUGAAGACAUAAUGCUCAAUUUCAGAUUAAAUUUCCUGUUCUAUAACUCGUUUUCUCUGAAUUUUCCUUUAAUGUCUGUGCUUUCUGAUCAUAUAAGUUGCCCGUCUGGUUCCUUGUUUGAGACUCUGCCGAACCUGGAAUAAUGCUUCUAGGUCUAGCUGAGGGGACCUACACCCCUUUUCAUGGAACCUGAGGCAUGCGUUAAUUCGAAACUCUAUUACUUUGCCUUCCAUUGCUUUAAGUCUUUUAGCCAUCUCAGCCACAAAUCUGGAGAUUCAUUUAUCUUUCUUUAAUAUUCAAGCCAAAUGUCAAUCCAGUCCGCUUAAACCCCGAUUUGAAUGAUUUUGAACCCUCUUUUUGCGCUCUUGAUGUUUUUCAUUUCAACUACAAUGACAAACCACCCUUCGAAAAAAGAAGAAAUCUGGACCAAAUCCUAAACUUUUAAUUCACAACUUCUUGAGCCUGACUCUGAGUCGACACAAUUGAAUCACCUUGGAUAAGAGUGCUUCUAAAAAUCCUCCAGAAUGUAGGCACAAGUGCAGCGUUCGUUAAUAAUGUCCAUGGCAUGUCACAAAGGAAAGCUUCUUUUUUUAUAAUCAUCAACGCAAAUUGACUCUUAAUGGACCCCAUUGCCAGCGUCACAUCAAAGACUGGACAGAUAGGGAGAUUCACAAUUUCGAUAGCUAUCUUUGCAUUAUUUGGGCAGGGCAACCAUGUUAUGGAUAUAUAGCUCGAAGGUGACUUGCGUUUUGUUCUGUAUCAUCAGUAGCAGCCUCAAACCCGCCAUAGGUUUGAGUGGUAUUAAAAGACUCAACAUGAUCAGCUGUAGGUGAUCGAGCAGCCAAUUCAUCAUUGAGCAAAUCAAUAAAAGCUUGGAUAUCGUUGCCGAGUGGCCUAAAAUCAUUAGAUAAAUCAUUAAAGUCAUUAAGUAUAUUACUGAUCUCCAUGAAAACCCUCCUCCUUGCUUCUGUAGAGCGAACACAAGCUGCCACUAAAAUUGGUUAGCCCGGAUUGCUAAUUUAUGCAUCCAAUCACCAUCGAUUUCUCUUGUCCUUUUUGGAACUUCUGGAAUAUGGAUGAAACCUGUGAAGAAUGUGGUGGAAUUGCGGUCUGCAAGCACGAAGUUUCCAGUUACUUGAAAUGCUUCGAAAUCAUGGUUCCAGUUUACAUCUACAGGCAUUGGCUCAAGUAAGUUCGUAUCAGCUUGGGUGGCUUUCGAUUCCAAAAGCUCUAACAACAACAUGAUUCUCAAAUAUCCGAACAGCAAUGUCCAAAAUUGAAUCAAGAAAAUUCUUUAGCAGCAGUAUGUGUUGUCCCUGCUGGAGCCAUCACAGGAGCAACUAAGCUAACUGCCAAAAAGGUUCUAGCCAGUGAGAUCCCAUUCUGACGUUUCGGUUUUGGUGACUGAUAGCUUUCUAAUUGUCCCUGCAAAUAAUGUAAACCAAUAGUUCCAUUGAAUGGAUUGUCAUCCAGAGCAAGGAUCCGAAUACUUGUAAGGCCAUCAACGAAAUCAGCGAGGGUGGUGUCGACUUCGUUGUAAUCGAAGAAGGCGAGUUGCAAUUCAGACAAUCUGCGAGAAGAAGGCAAUUUUCCAUUGAAGUGGUUCAUCUGAAACCCCAAAUUGCAGAGCAUUGAAAGCUGGUUGAAGUUUUGAGGGAGAGGUCCCUUUAAUCCCAAUCCCUUAACUUGAAUCUGUGUAACUCUGUCACCACUAUAAAAUACACGAGGCCACAAAUUUGACUCCACCCGUUGGCUCCUUUCCUUCAUUCAUUCGCUUUAACAAGUCACAUUUAAUUCCAAAGAAUAUUAUAUAAUCUUCAAGUAUGUUCAAAUCAGAGGGCUCUAGUCCGUUAACCUUUACACUCUCUAGCAGGUUCUGUUCUUGUCUCUUCCUAUUAUACAGAAGUUCAAGCAAGUUUCAUAAAGCCUGAAUUUCUACACGUAGCCACUACUGGGGUCAGGUUUAUCCAAGUGUGCUGCUCCAACAGAAUUAUCGAUGUGUCAGUUUCUCUAAAAAUCACCUUGUGAAUCAAUCCACAAUACCGAGGCAUCCCAUCAUCAGAACUUCCUAAGCUUUCAGCAAGUAGGCAAGCAUUUAUGCUUGAGUCAACUCUACCGAUGACAACAAACCCAUCCAAAUCAAACUUCAUAGCUGUUUCUUCUUUUCCAUUAAUAUCAACUGGUAUCCUUUCUAAAAGAAUGCUUUUCUUAUGACGACAUGACAGUAAAACCCUUUUGCGAGAAUGGCUCAGAGUUUUGAUCAUCAUCUGAUUCUAUUGUAUUACUGGAAUGAUUGCUUUGGUAAAUGGAAUUCAACAGAAUCCACACAUUCAUGACUCUAAAAUUCAGCUUACUAGCAACCAGAUGGAACACACAUUUUCUGGUUCAGGCAUUCGUUUCUGGUCAGAUUCAUGGUAUCUUAGCGGUGCAACAGACGAUGCAGCAACCUCUUCUAGAGUGCCUUUUAUGAGCCUCAAGAGCAAAGGCCAAUGAUAGAUGAAGCGGUCCCUCUGCACUACUUGGGCUUCUGAUUCAGAAGUUAUCAUGAAGCCAACGAACAAGCAGAGUGAACGCAUUUGCAGUCAACCUUAAAAUUUCUAAUAUUGUCAGCAGGCCUGAUGGUAAAAAAACGAAAGUAGGGGAGCCUUAUUCAAGAGGAUCAUUGCGAACACUGUCACGUGUUAUUGGUGAGCUUGUUGGCAUCUUGUUUUGGGCAGAAUAAUGAGAUCCUUCAGUUAAUUAGAGAUCCAUAUCAACUAAACACCAGAAUCAUGGAUUUCCCAUGCUUUCUACUGGACAACGAUUGUCAGUUCUUUCUCUUGUUCACUUCUACUGGCAGUGGCUUGACUCUCCAACAAAACCCCUGAUGCACCCUGUAGCUCCUCAUUUAAUUCUGGAUUCUUAUCAGCAUCGCUUUCUUCUCCCUUUUGAGACUCUUGGAGUAUGAAAAAGAAAACUUGUGAAGAAUAAGGUGGAAUAUCCCAGCAAUGCAGUAUGGUAGGACCCAUUUGAGGGGGAACCCUGCAUUCAUCACUCUCACCUCCAGUAGCAUUAGAUGCUUGCUGGACCCAAUUCAGCCAGUCUCUGCAUAUUGACUCUCAAUAUAAACGUUUAGAAAUAACAAUGACUUCAUUUCUACUGCCUUGUUUAGACCUUCCUUGAUCAAUGUCUACCUUCAUUUCUCACAAAUUCUGGUUCUACUAUUAAAGUUCUGCCCCCAGUCCGUUUUGCAAAGCAUAAGCUAAUUUUAUAUUUGUAUAAUUCCAUCUUAACACACAAGUCCGUCGUAGCCUUUCCUGAGAAGUUAGAGAAGUUGCUUUUCUGAUAUAAAAAAGCCUUUCAGAACCAUGCUGAAGCUCUGAAUGUUGAUAGUUUUCCAUUGCAACUGAUAUGAGCUCCUCAUCGGUAGUGUCACAAGAAUGAUUCCAUGAGAAGUUUCUUGUUGCAUCACCUUUUUUAUGUAUUCCAACCCCAACUGUUGAGUUUCUUGAAAUUGAAACUACGGAACUUAGUUAUUUUGAAUUGUUUGCAUCUGUAGUGAUAAAUCACUGGAAGAGACAAUCAUAAUUUAGGCACUUGAUUUCCGUUUCGGUCGAACUAACAGCUUCGUAACUGUUAAUCUCAAGGUCAGAUUCAUGCUCUUGUUUCUCAAUUUCCUCUUCCCAUGAGAAUUUUUUUCAUAACAAUCGAAUGAAUUCUUAUAACUCCCAAAAGUUUCUAGCUUUUGCUGAUCAUGGAGGUGCCUCACAAUACUUGUCAUUAUACUCACUUUGGAAUUUUUCUGGUCCAUGUUCACUUUGAAUGAAUGUAUCCCUAAAGGGGGUAUUCAAUGACUGCCCAUAAUGAGUUACAAGUUCCCCAAAAUAGAAUAUAAUGAUCGUCGGCCUUACAGUACUGCUGUUUUAAAAUUUUCUGCUCGCUGAACAGUCAUAGUUCAAACCAUCAAUAUCAAAAGGCUUUCCCAGGCACUCAUCUUCAGAACCAUAAGGCCAGCAAGUCUGCAACCGUUUGAGUUGGGUAAAAAAGAAAGUCCUAAGCAGUGGAAGUGCACAGCAUGAUGCUGUCAAGUUUCAAUAACUUAAAUAUUGGCCAACUUAAGCCAGACCAUAUUCCUCAAAAAUCCAUUCUUCCUCUGCUCAUGUAAACUUGUAAUGCUGUCAGAAAUCCUGUCUUCAGAAUAGCAACCCUGACAAUUGAGUAUGGAAAGCAGAAUACCCAUGUGCUUCCAACUAAGCUUUUUACAACCAUCCUCAUAAACUGAGGCGUGCCAUUCUAAAGAAAAGGCAGAGUCUUUUAGAAAUCACAAUACUUCUGAAGCAGCUUGAAUUAGCAUAUUGCAGUAAUUGGAAGUCGGAUUGACUGAAACAGGGGCUCGAACGCAUCCAUCUGUAAAUCUUACAGACCGACCACCCUCAGAGAAAAGGUCUCCAAAAAAAAGGCUUCAGCUUCAUGACAAACAGCAUUCUCUGUUUCAGAGUUGCAACUGCCCCUGUUAUACUACUCCUGUGCACUUCAGCAUUUAUUCUUUAGUUAUACCGUCCCUUUAGAUAGCAUCUAUCCCACACCGUGAAGCAAGCAAGGUUCACUAUAAUAGGAUCUAGUAGCAGCAACAAACGGGUGAUCCUGGAGAUAUUUUAAACUCAACUUCAUCAACAUCUUCAGCGUGCACUUCUGUUGGAACACAAGCGAUAGUAGCAGUGAAAAAAAAAGUGUUGUACUGAUCCCGUUAGGAUUGCAGCCCAGAAUACCACGAACAGAGAGCCCCAAAAAUUGAAGCAACUCUGCAUCCAACUAAAUCACAUCUAGAACCCGGUUUAACGACUUUCUUGUCUUGAAGAGGAAAUACCCAAUCUGACUCAACAAUCUGUUAUCAUGUGCCAAACCCCACAAACAGCCCACAUUCUACGCAGCCUUUAUAAAGUCUCUACCUUUCAUGAAAUACUCAUGCCAUCAUUGUCUCCAUAGCCCAGAACACCAAAGUAAAGAAGAGGAAGAAGCGUAGAUAUAGAAGCACAAAAAAAGAAACCGAACAAAGAAAGAAAAAAAAAAAAAAAAAACGAAAACAGGGGAAUGGAAGGCAAUGGGUGGGAAAUCUGAAUAAGUCACAUUUCAUUAUUUUCAAAAGGGCUUUGAAGAAUCUGAACACAUUAGGACAAGCUUAGUUAAAAUUAUAUCAGGAUUCCACAAACAUUAAAAUUCAAACAUAAGUCUCUGUUUCAGCUAUUUAUAAAAAGAAUCAAAGAAAUCAAGAACACAAUCAUAAUAGAGCAAGUUUGAAGGAAAUUUCGAUUCAACAACGCAAAUAAAUGGCCCUCAAUGUCCACUCCAAUCAGCAAGAACAACUUCCCGAAAACAGCCAGAGAAUCUCAAGUGAAUGUAAACGGGAAUACCAAAAUAAUAAAAAAAAUAACAGGAAGCGUACCUGGCAGAACCUUGGCUGCAAUCUCCCUCUCUUUCUGCUCUUCUCUCCGCACUUUUUCUUCAAGAUCUCUCUUUUUCUCCUUUUUCUCCUUUCUUUCUUUUCUUUCCUUCUUCCUUUUCUUUCCUUCUCCCUCUCAAGCCCAAAAAUCCUAUCUCUCCCUCCGGAUCUCUCCAAAAAAAAAUCCCCAUGCGUGCUGCCAGUCCCACUUUUCAAAAAGAAAACAUCUUGCUGAAAAGGAAAAUCCUACUUCCUUUUCUCCUUUCUUUCCUUUCUUUCUUUUCUUUCCUUCUUCCUUUUCUUUCCUUCUUGUAGCCGAUCCCCACAUGGAAGAAGUAUAUGUGCUGUCCCUCUAAAAAUCAAAAUCUCCUCUUUUCAAAAUUCCGUUGAUUUUCCUUCCAAAUAAAUGGCGGUUCGUUUCCUCAUGCCCAAAAAAUAAAUAAAAUAAAAAAAUAAAAAUAAAAAAAAUAAAAAAUAAAAAAUUAAAAAAAUUAAAAACAAAAAUAAAAAAAAAUCAAUCACAUGCAAGCCAUACGAGCUAUGUAACCACCAAAGGAAUAUGAGUUAUGCAACCAUGCAAAAACACGAGCCAUGCAACCAUGCAAACCAUGCAAAAACAUCUAAAGGUGACCUAGGGUGUGUCCUAGUGCGCUAGGGCAAACGAAAUGGACUAAGUGUGCUUAAAAGCUAUCCUAAAAAAAAGAAAAGCCUACGACUAAGUUAGGGCUGCCAAGGGUCACAAUAAGGGAUCAAAUAAUCCCUCAACCAAAAUCUCCGAGGUGACUCAGAAAAAGGUUAGUGGUAUGAGUAGCCAUGGGCCACCAAGGAACUAUGGGGCACUGAAAACGAAUUUAAAGACAUGUGCUAAAGGGACAAAAUUGAGGGUCUACACCCUCUUCAGUUCUGUUGAAGAUUAUCAAAGAUACAAGCAAAAAUUCUCCCAGAGGAAACUAGGGAGAAAUAUCAAUUUCUCCCAACUUUAGUACUUCGGGUUUGAGGGACUCUUUAGUCGGAUGGGAUAACUGCCAGUUGUGAUGAUUUUCGAGCCGAUCUUCCUGACUCUGGUGCGGGCAUUUUAUUCAUAGGUGACUUAUGGACUUGGAGGACCAGUCAUGUCCACUAUUAGAGGUGUUGAGAUCAGACUGAGCCCGGAGAGCAUUUUCCGCAUUCUCGACAUUCCUUUAGUUGGACUCCGGGUGUAUGAGUCCAAGGUUUGGCCCACUGUGCCGGGAUUCGAGCCUAGAGAGGCUAUUCAGAGGCUGUGCGGACUUGUAGAUGCUGAGGGGAUGGACAAACCAUCGGCACAUAGCCUGACCGUGACCAGCCAAGUCCUUCAUCACAUGAUUUGCUCCUAUUGCCACAAGGCGGGUAUCGAGAUGAGAUUUCCUACCUGGAUGCUUUCAUAGUGGACACCAUUCUAAUGGGGAGAUGGAUUCAUGUAGGGUAUUUGAUGAUGAUGCAUAUGAUAUCCUACUAUGAGAGCACGACCCGAGUACUCCCCUACAGACGCUUCCUCACUCGAGUAUUCAAGGAUGUCGGGGUCGAUUUGAGUAGAGAGACGAACUUCGAGGCCCUUACUAGCUAUGAUACUUACGAUGAGCAGUCCUUGGAGCGGAUAAAGUUUGAGAAGGCCCUCGAUGGCUCCUGGAUUAGGAGAGUUGAGCGAGCUCCAGCAUAGGCCCGGGGACAAGGAUAGAUGCAUCCCGGAGUAGAGGAGGAGGCUGAGAUCAAAGAGAUGGAGGAUGGGUUAGACCCAAGGAUUGAAAUAUCGAUAAAUAUGGAUAUAUCGGUACUUGGAUUUUACGGAUAUAUCGGAAAUAUCGGAGAAAUAUCAAUGGAUAUUUUUCAUCAAAUAUCGGUGAGACAAAAAUUAUCCAAAAUUGAUGGGAAUGCUUAGAAAAAUCCAAAGAAUGAUAAAAUAAGCAAGAAUAUACAUGUUAAAGUUAUUUUAUGAGUGUAAUUGACAUAAAUAUGGUAUAAAAAAAAUAUAUAUCGGUAAACAGUUUACGAUACUUGGAUUUUAAGAAAAGAAAAUAUGAAAUUUGGAAUUGUACACUUAAAAAGUUAGAAUUGAGUUAAGAAAUAUUUGAUUUUAUUAAAUGAAAAAAAUUUACACAUAAACAUAAUACAUAUGACAUUGCAAUGGUCCUUAAUACCAAAAUGAAGAUCGAUGUGGUUCCAUCAUAUUGUUAUUGUUAGAUGAAGGGAGCCCAUCUUGUUGAAGACAAUAUUCAUACCAGGACAUGGAGUUUCGAUAGUAUUGAUUGUAUGUACUAACAUGCCAUGCAUAAAUUUCUUGAGUCCUACCGACAACCUGUCCAUGGAUGGGAAAUCCAGGGUUUUCCCAUGUGCUCGUUUGAAAUCCUUGUUGUUGCAGCUGAUGUAGAAGGUAGUAUGGAAUUUGUGUGGAAGAAUGAUAGUUAUACCUUUCAUACUCUUCAUCAGUGGAACUUGAAAGAUUUUGAGGAGGCUGACCAUAACUCAUUGCAUAAGGGGCAUAAAUGUUGGCUUCAUUUGAUGAAUCACUUAAUUGAGUCUCUACACUCAUCGACUCAAAACUGGCCGACAAUGAGUCCUCGUUGUAUGGCAUCAUCCUUCGUUGUCUUCCUCUAUAUGGCUUUCCAAUGGCUCCAACACCUGGACCGGCUCUUCUAGAGCCGUGGUCUUCAUCUUGAGUACAAUGUGUGAAAUCAUCUUCACUAAUAAAUGCCAAUGGUUGUCCACUUUGUUGAUGUUGUCUAACAUCCCCUUCAUCAUUUUCAGGGUCGCUACCAUCAUUGGUCCCCUCUCCUCUUGAAUCAUCAUAACCGGAAGCGGAAGUACCAGUAGCACUAGGUCUACUACUAUGUUCAACACUCGUGGGGUCAAAAGAAGGUCGAGAAGUGACUACCAGCUGAGAAAUUCCUUGUCGAAAUGAAUCUUUCGUGUCUUGGUUGAAACUAUCAAUAUGAACUUCUUCGGAUAACACUUGAUCAACAUCAACACCUGCUUCUCGGACAUGUGCGGCAAUUCGUGGGUCGAGAUUUCCAUCUUCAUCAUCUAAAUGAAGAGGUCUAACCCAUUGAAACAAUUGGUUAUCUUCUUCUUCACCAGCCUCAGUUGCAAUAUCAAGUAAAUCAAGGUAAUCUUUCUCUGAAACUUUGUCAUGUUCUGCUUCCAUGUCACGUAUCUUUAGUUUCAUGUUAUAAUAAUAGAAAACUAAUUGUUAGAGCAUCGGGUAAGCAAGCUGAUUUCUUUGUUUUGUAUGAAUUAUGGAAAACAUGCUCCAAUUUCUCUCACAAGCUGAAGAUGAUGCAGUUUGCGAUAAAACCUUGAUGACCAACCUUCUUAAUGUAGGAGUGUGAUUUCCAUACAUGAACCACCAUUCAACUACAACCAAAUAAAUGAUAUCAAUACUUAUAUUGGAAAGCUAUAAUAAUAUGCUAAUGAAAUGAAUUAUUAAUUCACAAAUAAUACUCACCGAGAACCAUUUCUAACCUCGAAGCAAUCACUGUUUGAUCACCGAAUCCUCUUUUUGCAUCUCGGAAUAGUAUAAUCUACAUAUUAAAUAAUUGAAAGUGAAAAAGUUGAGUAAAUGAAAUUAAAUUAUUUAAUUUAUAUUAUAACUCUAAUAAUUUACCUCAUUUCCAAAUUGACUAAAACCUUCUGAUGUAGGAUCUAAUUUCGCAAAGACUUCAUGGACAACUUGAAGUAGAUCAGGAUCAGUACCAACUCCAUGUUUAUAUUGAAAUCUUGGAUUAAGAAAGAAUGCUACAAUAGUAAAAUAGAAAUGUAAAAUUAGAAUGUUAUGAAAGAAACAUAUUAAAUACCAAUAAAUUUCAAAGAUGAAUAAUACUUACCUGCUGCAUGAAAAGGAUGUUUAAAAGUUCUAUCCCAACGAUAUGCAAUUAUUUCUAACACCCAUUCUUUAGCAUUAAGUCGAAUAAGGUUCUCUUUCAUAACUCGAAUCAAUUCGUACACAAAUGGCAUUGUAGGAACAACUUCUGAAUCGACAAUGCGAAGAACUGUGUAUAGCGCCUCAUAUAUUGACACUAGCUUUCCCACUCUUUCCUAGUAUGCAUGGUCAAACAUAAGUGAUUCAACUUCUUUGCCGAUUAAUGUGCAACUUAAGUUGUGUUGUGCCCAUUCAUCACUGAUAAAUAUUUUCUUCAAGUUUAUUUUCUUUUUCAAAAGACUGUCGAAGGCUAUAUAAUUGGUUGCAAAUCUUGUUGCUCCAGGACGAACUAUGUCUCCACCACACACCUUCCGCAUCUGGGUAAGCAACCAACCAUGGUUAUAAAUGAAGUUGGUUAUCUUUCGAGCCUUUGUAAUCACAUCUGCAACACUCGUCCUUUUACCGAUAUCUUCGAACAUUAAGUCGAUGCAAUGUGCUGCACAUGGAGUCCAAUAAAGAUUGUAUUUCUUCAUUAACAACUUCCCCGCCUUCAUGAAUGCCGACCCAUUAUCUGUAACUAUUUGGACCACAUUUUGUUUGCCAAAUUCCUUGAUCACAUCCUUCAACAAACCAUAUAUGUAUUUGUUGUCCUUUAUAUUAUUUGAUACAUCAACAUAUUUGAGGAAGAUUGUGCUACCUUUUGAAUAUACCAUGAAAUUAAUUAUGCUUAAUUUCGUGGGCCCAGUCCAUCCGUCAGACAUAAUCGUGCAUCCAUAAGUCUUCCACUUUUCUCUUUGAAUAUUGACAUAAGCUUCUAUGUCUUUGUACUCCAUAUCCAAAUACUCGUGUUUGAUUUCAUAAGGAGACGGUGGUUUUAUACCCAUACCUACCAUCCAUAUAUAAUUAAAGCAUAUAAGAACAUUUGUGGCAAUCAUACUAUAUAAAUAGUAAUGAUAUUGUUAAAAUGAAUACAACUUUUAAAAUUAUAGUAAUUACCUGCUUGUUGUGCACCAACAAUCAUGUUCUUGAAGUGGUGAGAGUCUGUUUUACUGGGCGGAACACUCUCAUAUAUGAAGAACUUACUGAUCAAACGUCCCAUGGUUUCCUUGAUGGCACCACCUUUGAAAAUAUUUUUCAUAUUUUUAUGUCUUGCUACUGAAGAUUUGUACAAUGAGGGUGCAUCAGGCAGUGAUGGAUCUAAAUAUCGAACACUUUGCGAUUUUCGCAUUUGCCUUGUUGUUGGAUUGGUUGGAUGUGAAGACUUGCCUAUUAUAAUUAUUAAAAUUAAACAUAUAUGCUAAUUUAAUAUUAUUGAUAAAGUUGAUAAGAAAUAGUAAUAAUUCAAAUUAAUAUUAUACCUGUUUUUAUUUUGUCUUUUAUAAAAUGUUCUUCUUAUUGUCGAUUCCAUUCAGCAGCUUUUGAUGCUCGAACCGCCUCUCUAUAAGCAUGUCGCUCACCAAGGUGCAUGUCAGCCAGAUACAUAUACACAUCAUCAUCUCCAUCAUCAUCAUCACCACCAAGGUUCUCCUCAUCGUCCUCAUCAGUUACAUGCUUAUGUCUUAUUCCCAUUGUGUCUCGCAGUUCAGAUCGAAUCUCUUCUAUAUCUGUAGCUUUCUUCGCUUUUGCCUUAUUUUUUUGCUCUAGAAGUCGUCUUAUUUAUUGUUUCACUUCUGGAGGCAUGUUAGGACACUUUUUUGUAUUUGAAUUAGGGUCUGUAUGUGAUAGGUGAAAUUUAAAACGAGUAAUCCCACCACUCUUUAUUGCCAACCCACAGUAAUUGCAUACUGUUCCAUUUUUGUCCCCUUCCAUAGGUGUACAAUAUUUCCAACAAGGAUCUCGACCCAUGAUACCGCUUUCACUAGCCAUUUUCUAAAAUUGAAUUAUGAAACUAAUAUCAAAUUUAAAAUUAUUAAAGAUAAAACAUGUAAGAAAUUUAAUAUUCAUGAAAUUGAUAAGAACUAAUAAAAAUUGAAAUUAAAAUUAAAUUAUGCAUAUAUGAAAUAGAUAAACAUUACAAUAAAAUUUCAAUAUGAAUUAAAUUUAAAUUAAAUUAAAUUAAAUUUGUAUAUUCAUGAAAUUGAUAAGAAUCAUUACUAAUAAAAAUUAAAAUUAAAAUUGAAUUAUGCAUAUAUGAAAUAGAUAAACAUUACAAUAAAAUUUCAAUAUGAAUUAAAUUAAAUUAAAUUUGCAUAUUCAUGAAAUUGAUAAGAAUCAUUACUAAUAAAAAUUAAAAUUAAAAUUGAAUUAUGCAUAUAUUAAAUAGAUAAACAUUACAAUAAAAUUUCAAUAUGAAUUAAAUUUAAAUUAAAUUAAAUUAAAUUAAAUUUGCAUAUUCAUGAAAUUGAUAAGAAUCAUUACUAAUAAAAAUUAAAAUUAAAAUUGAAUUAUGCAUAUAUGAAAUAGAUAGACAUUACAAUAAAAUUUUGAUAAGAAUUAAAUUAAAUUAAAUUUGCAUAUUCAUGAAAUUGAUAAGAAUCAUUACUAAUAAAAAUUAAAAUUGAAUUAUGCAUAUAUGAAAUAGAUAAACAUUACAAUUACAUUUCCAUAUGAAUUAGAUAAUAUCAAUUAAACUAUUGUAGACCCCCCUCUUUUGGUCUCGUUUCUUUUUUUUUCCUCUACAUAUAUUAUGUUUGUUUUAGCCAUUGCGGAAGCACCUGGAAGAGGUGUUAGUGCCUUGAACAAGUGGGGGGACCUGGCUGUUUGGAGAGAUGAGCUGCGUGGAACACGUGGUGGAGCAGUUGGCCACAGCCAUGGUGGUGGUUGGGGCUCCAGUUUGCUGAGCAGAGGAACAGUAUAGUAGCUGAUGGCUUGCAGGAAAAGCUUUGACGGAGAAGGAGGACAGAGGAUUUUUAAGAGGAUCCUUUUGAGAGUGCUGGCAGGGGGGGAUCUUGGAGGGAAAGGGAAGAGGAGAAGUAAGUUUUGAGGAGAAAGGGGCUUUCAGGUAUGGCCAUUUAUGAUUUUUCCCGAAUAUUCUGAUCUUUCAUAUCUUUCCCAUCUUACUCUCCAUGAUUCCAGUUUUGCUUGAUGAGUUGUUUUGUUUUGAUGAUUGUUGGUUUAACAUUAAAAAAGAUGGCUGUUUUUUUUGUGUUUUACCCGUGCAAACCUCUUCCAACUUAACCCUUUGAUCGUUAAGCUCAUGGAUGAAAGAAUGAAACGAAGUUAGCACAUUCAUCAAAAGGUUCCCUGCUAUGUUUCUCCAUUUGUUCCCUUUGCUUGAGUAUGUGAGUAUUGAUGCUAAUAGUAGCAAGGUCCCAGCCAACUUUGUACAAUAGAGCUCAGAUGUUGCUCUAGGGGUUCAUGAUCAUCCUGUCAAGUGCCUAGGAGCAAAUGAUGCCCUUGAGCUUACGUUUCUAAGUCGUGUUCUCCCUACCAAGCUGGAUACCCUCCUUGCUAAGGACGGGGGGACGAAACCUAUUAACAGCCGAAACCCAAUGAUAAGAUCCAAGUCACUGUCGAGUAUCUCAAUGAGAAGGAUGCCAUGGUUCUUUCUUCGUGUACAUGUUGUUCCCAUCUCCACCCAAGUUGACUAAACUGUCAUCAGUGAUGAGAUUGCUGCCUACACUAAAUAAUACAUCAUCCAGCCGGUUAUUCAUGAGAAACAUUAAGAUGAGAAGUCCACCUUCCAACACCCAUUAAGCCACUCUUCACACCCAUCUUCUCUCAUUAACAUCCUCAUACCCCUCCCACCACUUCGUGAUUCAUAUCCCCAUCAUCCCCAGCCGUCCAUGCUAUCAAUAAUAUCCCCACUUAUCUUCAUACCCAUUUGUUCCACUAUUCGGAAUCCCCAUGCAUGCGAAACUGGACGCGGAAGCCAUGAUAGCAGAGAUUGUGAUGAAGAACGUGGAAUGCGGUACCCUGUUGCAUGAAGUGAGCAUGGUGGAGCGGCGGUUUGAGGAGUCGACGAGGAAGAUAGAGCUGUAGAAGAGCUUGCUGGAGGUGUUGGAGUUGGAGAGGACGAUAUUGCUGAAUGAUAACGUGCGGCUGGGGCGCGAGAUGAGUGCGCUGAUUGAGGAGAACAAGGGGCUGUGGAGGUCCCGGCUCCUGCUCCGACGCUGGAGGCGCUGAGUCCUCCAGCACCGCCGGCCGAAGCUCCUAGGCCACAGCUAGAUGCGAUCCCAUCCAUCUCCAUCUCUGCCAGGUGAGAGUAGGGCAGAGAAGAUCACGUGCGUGAGGUAGAGGGUAGAAAUGGAUAAAGGGCAUAGAAAAUGGGCUACAGCAAUGCAUGGAAUUGUUUGAUAAAAGAAAAGAGAAAUGGGUUUGUUGACACGUGAAAGAACUAUGCACUUUAAAAAAACUCUCCCUGUUUGUUUUACAUAUUCUCAAACAAUGCUUAAAAAUCCCUUAAAAUUUUAAAGUUAAAAAUUUAUUCACUUAUUCAUGUUUUUCUAUUCACUUCAAAUUCUCGAAACUCAAUCCUAAAAUUUAAUUUCUUCAAAGUUCAAUCUCCAAAAUAACUUUUUUUUUAGGUUCUAAUUUUAACUUUAAUUCUCCAAAGAUCCAAAAUUUUAAAUUUAACUUUCCAAAAAUCCCACAAUUCCGAAUUUAAUUUUAGGUCUUGUAAAUUAGUAUUAUUAUCCCAUAUUUAUUUAUUUAAAGUCCAAUCCUUCAAAAAUCUCAUUAUUAUUAUUAUUAUUACUUCAACUUUCGAAAUCAAUUUAUUCUUAUUAUUAUUAUCAUUAAUCCAAACUUUCAAAAUCCUAUUAUUAUUAUUAUUAACCCAACUCUCAAAAUAUUAUUAUUAUUAUUAUUAUUAUUAUCAUUAAUUCAGACUUUCGAAAUCUUAUUAUCAUUAUUAUUAAUUCAACUUGCAAAACCUUAUUAUUAUUAUUAUCAUUUCAAAACCUUAUCAUUAUUAUUAUUAUUAUGAUUAUCAUUAUUAUUAAUUUAACUUUUAAAAUAUUAUUAUUACUGUUUUUAUUAAUUCAACUUUUAAAAUCUUAUUAUUAUUAUUAUUACUAAUUCAAUUUUCAAAAUCUUAUUAUUGUUAUUAUUAUUAUUAUUGUUAAUUCAACUUUCAAAAUCUUAUUAUUAUUAUUAUUAUUAUCAUUAUUAACCUAUUAUCAUUAUUAUUAUUAUUAUUACUAUUACUAUUAUUAUUAUUAUUAUCAUUAUUAUUAAUUCAAUUCCCCAAAUCUUAUUAUUAUUAUUAUUAUUAAUUCAACUGUCAAAAUCUAUAUUCCCGUAGUUUAAUUUCUCAAAGUUCAUUUCUUAUCAUUACUGUUAUUAUUAAUUCAAUUUUCAAAAUCUAUAUUCUCGCAGUUUAAUUUCUCAAAGUUCAUUUCUUAUCAUUACUAUUAUUAUUAAUUCAGCUUUCAAAAUCCAUAUUCUCGCAGAUCAAUUUCCUAAAGUUCAUCUCUCAUUUUCUUUGACGAAUUUCAAUUUAAUUACCGAAGCUCUAAUCUUUCAAAGUUAAUUCCAAAUACUUCAAUUUUCAAAUAAAGUCUAAUAAUCCAGUUUUCACUCGAAUGGUUUUAAUCCCAUUUCAGUCCCUAAAUAAUCUUCUGGUAUUCUUGAUUUUAUAUAAGCAAUAGUGAAUUCUUCAUAAUUCUAAAACACGGAAUUUGUGAGACUGGUUCAUGAAUAAUAAAUUGGGUUUUGGUGGGAGGCACUAUGUUUGAUCCCUAUUGAUUGUCAACUGUUGUGCUUAAUGUAUUUUUGCUUGAUCUUCAUUUUGCACCCUGAUAUGCAUGAGUUAUAAUUUGUAUUCAUUAAUUAUGCACUAAUCCUGUUUCUUGAUAGCAAAUUGCUGUUUGCUACCCAGGUACGCAUUCACUCAUUCUGAUCAUUCACUAUACGUAUUCUGAUUCUCAUAUAUGCAUGAUUAAUGUGAGUAUCCAUUGACUUUCUUAUUCGAUUGCCACGUCAGUUUCACUUUAUUAGUAGAGACCCGACUUUAGGGACUUUGAGGGGUGCUAUGGUCUCUACCGUACCUUCCCGAUAAGUAACCUGACCCUCGAACCCGAUCCGGUUUUUCACAGACCACCUUUUCCAAAACAAGGAGUCGCACUUAGGGUUUUUCUUUCUUAUUUUGUUUACCCUUUAAAAAUAAAACAAAAAUAAGUGGCGACUCCAAGUCAUUUUCAAAUAAUCAAUAAAAAUCAAGUUUUCAAAUAAAAAUCGAGUUCGUCAUCGAGUGGGAAACGCAUUGAGCCGAAAUGCGGGGUCCACAACUAUAUAUAACAAAUAAAAUUGAAUUAUGCAUAAUAAAAUAAAUUUUAUGAAAGGUAAGACAUACCUUAAUUAGCUUUGACUUGGAGUUAAUCCCUUUCACCAACAAAUUUUCAAAAUAAAAAAAUUUUGCUAGAUCAUAUAAGAAUUUUGAUGUAUGAAAUGGAAUGGAAUGUGGGUAUUUAUAGGAAUUUUUUGGUCAAACUACUCGUUGGAUGGUCAAAUAGCCGUUAUAAAUUAAUUUUAACCGUUGGAUCAAAAUUUGGUUCAAAUUUCACCAUUAGAUCUUCAUAUAACCGUUGGAAACACUCCAUAGCCCUUGGAUAAAGUGAAGAUUGAUUUUCCACCAUUGGAUCACAAAUCUGACCAUUGGAGGCCUUUAUAAACACACGGGUGAAAUUUGGGCCAUCAGAUCCUCAAAAAUUCAAAUUUGGCCGUCAGAUCAAAAUCCUUGAAGCUGUAAAAAAAUCACCGAUUAAUCGCGAUUUUCUCGGCAAAAAAUCGUUGAUAUAUCGGUAAAAUAGCUGAUUUUUUGGGCUCCUCCUCCGGCUUCUUCGUGCGUGCCUCUACUCGCGAUUUUUCGUCGAUUUAUCGGUGAAGCACCGAUAUUUGGCCGAUAUAUCGGCGAUUUUGCCGAUUUUUCCGUCGAUUGAUAAUCGGUGACGAUUAUUAUUUCGGUGCCGCCCAAUAUCCGAUAUUUCUCCGAAAUAUCGAUGAUAUAUCCCGAUUUUUCAAUCCCUAGUUAGACCCUUAGAGGGAUUUUAAGUAGAGAGGGCCCGAGCUUGACAUUUCUCCUCCACCUCAUUCAGAUGGUAUUCAUGUUGAGACCACUUUCUUAGAGCCUAUGAUGAUUGAGUCGUCUUACACUACAGGAGCAUCAUCUCAGCCAUCAUUCACCGAGCUUCCUCACACAGAGAUACCAUCUCAGGCACCUCACGCUUCUGAUCAUGCCCCUUGGAUGGAUGUAUCAGCUCAUAUCAGCUUCCUUGGGACUCCUAUGGAGGAGCUUGCUUUAGUCAAUGAUACUCGAUUCUACUCUAUGGAGGAUCACAUAGAUCAGUAUCAGACUGGCUUCACUUCUCGUUUUGAGCACUUCCAGCAGAGAUUUGAGCGUAUAGAGGAGCGUAUGGAUCAACAGCAGGCUACAGUUGAGCAUCUCCAGCAAAGUAUUGAGCGCAUUGAGAGUCGCCAGGCGAGUUAGCAUGAGGAGAUGAUGGCUUACCUCCGCUCCGUGUUUCCAUCUUCACCCCCUCAGCCUUGAGUUUAUCUAGAGUUCCCCCUCAAUUUCUUUUUUAUGUUGCUAAAGGGGGAAAAAUAUCUAGGAUCUAGGAAACCCUCAUGCAUAUCAUUGUCAUAUCUAUCUUGAUUAGCAUAUAUGUUAUGUUUUCGUGUACAUGUGAGGUUACCAUAUAUAUGAUAUGCUAUUUUCAUGAUCCAUUGUUUCCUAUUCAAUUUUUCAUGCUUUACAUUGUUUCCUAUUGAAAAUUGAUUGAUUGAUCCAUGAUUGGUUUGAGGGGGAGAUUUUUUUUCUCUCCUAGAUAACCAAGGUUGGUCAUCAUAAAAAAUGGGGAGAUUGUUAGCCUAAGGGCUCUCCUAAUCGGGUUUUGAUGAUAACAAACCAUGGUUAAAUGACUAAUUGGUUUAAUGGUUAAGAAUCUCAGGCAUAAACUCGAAAAUUCAUCAAAUGACCAAAUGGAUACAAGAUCGAGACAUUUGGAAGACUUGUGAUCAUAGGAAACUAAUGUAAGAUAAAUACAUGAGUGCACUUAGGAUUUUCAUACCGUUUCAUGCAAUUUAGAAAACUCGGUUUAUUUUUUAAAACUUCGAUUUCAUUAAAACCCGAGUUUUAACAAAUGUACCUUAGGCAAAAUGUUUUAAAAUUGGCAUAAUAAUUCACCUAAAAACCUUGCCUAAGUGUUAGAAAAAAAAUGAAUUCAAAAAGAUAGGUUUUUAGGGCCAAAAGGCUCAACCGGUUGGAGAACCAGUCGACCAAUUGCCCUUCUCCGGUCGAGGAAUGCACAAAAUUUUCUCUCUCACAGUAGCCUUCUCUUCCCAGUCGAGGUUAUUCUCUUCCCGAUUGAGAACUGGUCAAGGUCCGGUCGAUGACCGGUCGAGGCAACGGUAUCCUGUCAAGCAUUAAAUGCUCCAACGGCUAGUGAACCGGUUGACCCCUAGUUCGAUCGGUCGAGGUUACCUUUUGCUGUUUUUGGCUCCCGAGCUUAGAAACCUAUAAAUUGAGAGCUCCACUUCAUUUAUUGACGAGAGAACACUUGCAACUAAUUGUCUACCUACCUGUUCUUGAUCAAAAAGCUUUCAUUUCUUUCUUAGUGCAUUAAAUCUUCAAUUGCAUAUCCUUUAGUGCACUCUUGUGUGUCAUCCUAGCUUUGUCUUAUAUUUGAGCUAUCCUUAAGCUAGGUUGAGGGAUUCAUUCUUGUAAAAAUCGAGUGUUAAAGCCUUCAAGAGGUUUAAAUCUUGAAGAGAUUGUGUAAGAGCCCAUUGGAGCCGGAAUCCAAGUGUAAGAAGAUUGGAAGCUUGGUUGAAACUUUAAGUUAGUGGAACCCUCACUCAGUUAGGAGAUUGAGGAGAGUGGACGUAGGCAAGAAAGUGCCGAACCACUAUAAAAUCCGAGUUUGAAUUCUUUAACUCUAUUUCUUUAUUUUGCUUAUAUUUUGCUUGAACUCGUUGUGAUCGAAAAGAAUUUAAAAAAUCCAAUUCACCCCCUUCCCCUCCUUUUGGGUGUUUUUCUUAAUUAAGCAUAGCCUAUAUUUUCUCAUAAAUAAUCUCACAAAAUCCUAGUACAAACUUUAGCCUCAAAUUAUACAAGAUAAACUAGGAUUGAAUGGUGCACUAAUGAUAUGUAAGUUUUAAAACAAUGUGUACUAAAAAACACUCCCCUAAGGCUCAAUUAUAUUCAAGAAAGGUUUAAGAAGGUUAAACUCUUGAAACUAUAAAGAUUGAAGCGUUUUUAUAGAAGAGAAAAGCCAAACUACCUAUUGGGGGUUCGUCUGGUCGAGCUCUGGUUCGACCAGUUCACUAGCCAUUAGCAUUUAAUGUAUGAUAGGUGACCAUUGGGCCUUGACUGGUACUCAAUUGGAUGAAGUUCAACCUUGAUUGAUCGAAUAAGCAUUAUGGAAAAGAGAUAAGGUUUUUGCACCCUUCAACUGAGUAAGUUGAAUAAGUCGACUAAUUCCUCAUUCAAUUCAACCAAUUAAGUCAUUUUUUGCUAAAAAAACCAUCAUUUUCAACUUAAAACCUUUUAAACAAGUUUGGAAAGCAUUUGACAUAAGGUUUUAGUUGAAAACAUGAAAUCAUCCAAUUUUUAAAAGAUUUAAAACAAAAUAACUCUUGAAUGAUUUUAGUGUAUAAGUAAAGAAUGUAAUGCAUGAAAAACCCCAUGCACUAACAACCUUACAAAGAGAUCCUAUGAGGCUUAGGUCUUGAAAAAACACUUAUCUUUAAGGUUUUCUUCUUCUUAUUGAUUUUAUCUUUGUGAUUGCCACUUUGGAAAUCAUCUUGCCUAGUCACACUUAAAAUAUAAUCAUUAGUUCUAAACCUUGUUUUGUUAUCAUCAAAACUAAGAUUAACCAAACCUUGGUUUCACAGUAUGAAUAUUGUAUCUUUAGAUCUAUAGUUAAUAGUGGUUUUUAUAGUCAUAUGUUUCUAUUGUGAUAAAUUUAGAGAUGCCUAGGGAUAGAUGAAUGCACCCUAUGAGAUCUAGUGCAUAUGAAUGGAGUAAUCUGGGGUUCCUAACAUAGUUUAGGCUUGUGCUUCAUAGAGCGAUAACAAUUCUUCAAGCAUAGUUAUGCUUUAGAAAUUUGUUAUUGAUUGGUCCAAUUUUUAGACCAUCUUUAGCAACAAUCUUGUGGGCACCAUUGAUAUAAACUUGUUAUACAAAAUAUGAUCUAUCACAUUUUUGGCAAGAACUUUCCACUAGUUUUGUGCAUGGUAAUGAUCAUGCAUGCAAACUUAACUAAGUUAUACACUAGAUGCCAAACUACUACAAUUCUUAUACACCUUCCCAUUUUGUGCAACCGAACAAUUCAACAUCAUAACACCAAAGUUCUUGCUUAGAUUUCCUACAGUGCUAAAAUUUUGAAAUGAUUAAUUUUUUUAUUUUCCUUUCAAUACCAAGACCCACAUACAUCAUGUCAUGCCCUAAGACCCACUCUAAGGGCAUGACAAUCAUUUCACAUCUCAAGGUAGAAAGCUCAAAGUGUAAAUUGACCUUAACAUUCAUUUUGUAACUGGAAAAUUAUCAAUUACCAAAUUCAUAUUCAAAGUAGUAGAAUAAAAUUCUAUAAGUUUCAAAUCUCAACUUUAAAGCUAACACAUCAACUAAAGUGUUAUUGUCCAAACAACUUCAAACUUAACAAUUCAAGCAAUCAUUAAAUUCUAGCUUUCAAAAAAAUAAAGUUUUAACCAAAAGUCUUAAUAUUGCCAAAAUAUCAUCCUAACGAUCACUCCUAGCCCGAAUUAAGGUGCCUAAAAAAUUGUCAAUGAAAGGAAAUGAGAUCAACGCUCAAUAAGGAAUAUUAACAAAGUUUCAUGGAUCAAACAUUUUUAAUUAUAAUUCCAAAUAGGAGAUAUAAUAUAUAAUCAUUUUCAUAAAAACUUUUGAGUUUAAAUAUAAUAAUACAUUCAAAAAUUUUUAGCUAAACAUUUUCAUAUCUAUGUCAAAACAAUUUCAUAUCAAAUUCAAAUCAAAUAUAUACAAAAUAUUUUUAUUUUGGUUAUCAAAUAUCACAUGGUGUCAAGUUAGGUGGGACUUUACAAAUUGGUGUCUAGCCUCAAAUUUUUUCAUUUCAAGGUGGAUGAAACCAAACACUACUAGUAUUAUUAACAUCUAACCAAAUGCCUAAAGGGUGGAAUCUAAAGCAAUUACAUGCCCCGCCAAGAAAUAUAAGGUCAACAAUUAUAACUAGUUAACUAAGGACAAAAAUAAACUAGAGUCAAACACCUUAUUUCAUUAAUUCAAACUUACAAAACAAAAACAUCAUAUCUCCAUAAUUUUCAUUUUUUAUAAACAAAAGAAAUGUUCUAACAUAUUUUUUUCAUGAAAAAUAUAUAUUUGAUCCAUGCAUAAAAAUAAAAAUAAUUUUUUUUAUUAUUCAAAAUAACAUAUAAAAGUAAAUAUGUUCUUUUGGCCAAAACAUGUAUUAAUUUUUCUUACCUCAAAGAAACACUCAAAGACCUUGAAGCAAUUAAUCCUGAAGAAUUUCACCCCAAAAAACAUAUUUCAUACCUUACAAAAAAAAAACAAAAAAACAAAAUUACUAUUGAUUAUUUAUCUAAUAAUAGUUUCGUAUCUCAUAUCACCUAUAUUAUUUUUAACUUCCUAAUAAAUAACAAUUUAAUAAGUGAUUUUCCAAAUUUUAAAAAGUUAUGUUCUUUCCAAAAUUUAUUCAUAAUAUUCUAUUAUUAUUAAUUAAAUCUCUCAAAAAUAUGUUUUUUCUAUUUAUUGCAUUAAACUAUUAUUAUUAUUAUUCAAUUUCAAUUUGAUUAAUUGGUUUUUUCUUUUAAAUUUUUAAUUUAUAUAAGAUUCUUGUUUUGAAAAUCUUCCAUAUUUACUUAUUUGUUUAAAGUAAAUUUCUCCAAAACUUGUUCCUUUUUGUUAAACAAAUAUCUUUUCCUAUUAUUAUUAUUAUUAUUAUCCCUAAUAUUAUAUUCAAAUAACUAAACAAUAAUAAUUUAAAUUAGUGAGUUUCCAAAUUUUUAUAAAACUCAUAUUCAUUCUAAAUCUUAUCAUAUAUAUCUAUUUCUUUUAUAUAAUUAAAUUAAAUUAAAAAUUUUACUUAAAUAUAUAUAUAUAUAUAUAUAUAUAUAUAUAUAUAUAUAUAUAUUAUAUUAUAUUAUUACUUUCAACAUCCUUCUACCACCGAAACAAUUACCUCAAGUAAAAGUCAUCUAUCCUUAUUCUACUAACUACCCUCUCUCUUGCAAUAGCACACUUAGGGAUGGCAAUGGGGCGGGUUCAGGAUAGGUCACCCCCAUCCCAACUCCACCUUGUUUAUUCAAAAUAAUUAUCAUCCUCGUCCCAUUUAAAAAAUUAAAUGAGACGGGGCGAGUAUGAUAAAUUCUCAUACUCGCCUCGUCCUGCCCCGUUUAACUUUUUUUUGAAUUUAUUUAUUUAUUUAUUUUUAAAAUUACUUUUAAAAUUUUUAAUUACAUUAAAAUAAAUAUAUUUUAUAAAUAAUUAAAUAAUUAUAUUUUUUAUUACUUAUUUUAUUAAAAAUAUUUUAUUAUUAUCUAUAUAUUAAAAAUAGUAAAAUAAAAAUUAAAUUAAAUUAAUUUUAAAAAUUAAUUUUAUAUAUAAUUGGGGCGGGGUGGGACGGGGCAAUACCCAAACCUGCUUCGGGUUUUAAAAAAAAUUCUCAAACUUGUCCCAAACCCGUUUAUUAAAAUUGAACUCCGUCCCAUUAGGGACGAGGCGAGUACCUCGAAAAAACCUGCCUUAUUGUCAUUCCUAAGCACACUUUCAUUUUUUUUUUUUCAUUUUUAUUGCUUUUAUCUUUUUCCUCCCUAAGAUCAAUCAUAUUGUAAGCACCCCUUUUUUUUUUCUACCACAUCUUGUUGCAAUCAACCUUGUAAGUUUUUUUAAUUUAAAUUUUUUUUCCACUAUGGAGGCACGUACAACCAUAAAACCCCAUCUUUUUUUAUUUUAUUUUUACAACUCUCAAAUCUCUCAACCUCCAUACUAUUAGGUUUUAUUCAUUCAUUUAUUUAUUUAUUAUUCCAUAUCCAAAACUAUAAUUAAUUUUCUUUUAUAUUUUUUUAUUUUAGAUCUAUUAAUUUGAAUAUUCAAAAUUUCUAAUCUUUACUAAUAACUCUAAAGCAUUCAAAACUAAUUAAUAAAUAUAAAAUAUUAAUCUAAGGAUUAAAAUCUUAUAUAGAAAAUUGAUCUUCAAAUCUUAAACCCCCAAAUUUUCAACCUUACAUUGCGUUGUCUAAUAUCUCAAAUCUCCAUGUAAAAGGGCUUUUGAAUAGAGUAAAUAAGAAAAAUUUAAUUUAUACCUAAAAUUUUUAAAAUAGAGAAAAAUCUUUCUACCCUUAUUAAUUUAAUUUAAUUAAUUUUUUAAAAUUAUGUUUUUACCCUUUAAUUGGGUUUGGGCAUCACACAUCAUACUAAAAAGUUAUCAAUAACCGUCCUUUGAGGCAUAUUAGCAUAAAUUUGCAACUUUAGUUGUGUUCUAGGUGCAAUUCUAUUAUGUUUAAUUGAAAAAUAACACACAUAGCACAACCAAGCCUAAUUGAAAGCAUUUGGGCAAAUAAAUGGUAAAUUUCUAAAAGUUCACCAAAACAAAAAAAAAGAUCAUAGAGGGCAUAUUUUUCAAGUCAACCUAGUUUUGGGAUAGCCACUUUCAAGCCUAAUGAUGUUAAGAUGUCUUAUUGCAAUCCAAUCUAAGAAUGCAAUAAUAGCUCUUUAAUUCAUAAUUUUAAAUUCACAAAAGAUAUCACCAAAAAUUACCAUAGGUUACCAAAGCAUCAACAACAUACAGAAAGCUUAGAAAUGCUUGGAACCUAUCGGAUUUUCACUUUUUAGGAAUAAAAAAAAAAAUCAACUUUAAGGAUUUUAGGGUAAUACUUGCUUGAACCAUCUUUCAAUCCUUUUGUUGGUGGUGGGCCUUUUACCUAUAGGAACAGGAAUAAGAGGUGAAAAUGAGGGAGCCUUAUGAAAACAGAUCCCUAGGGCUUAAGAAGGGGUUUUCAAUUUUAGGGUUUGCCUUUUCACCAAGGAUGUGAAUGGGAAGAUCAAGUGAAGUUAAGAGAUUGGUGAAGCAAAGUGAGGGCAUGGUAGGGUUUGAAUAAGGGAAAUUCUACACUAUUAAUGAAGAUGAUAAUCUCGAGAAAGCAAAGCUAAGGUAAACUAGGGUUUUAAUAACAUUUUUCAAUCUACACUAGUGAAGACGAUAUCUUCGAAAACCAAAGCUAGGGUAAGCUAGGGCUUUAAUAAUGAAUUUCAAUCUACAAUGGUGAAGAUGAGAAUCUUCGAAAACCAAAUCUAUAAUGGUGAAGAUGAUUGAAAACUAAAUCUAUACUGGUGAAGACGAUUGUAAAGCAAAUCUACACUAGUGAAGAUGAUAAUCUUCGAAAACCAAAUCUAUAAUGGUGAAGAUGAUUGAAAACUAAAUCUAUACUGAUGAAGAUGAUUAGAAAGCAAAUAUUCACUGGUGAAGACAACGAAACCAAAGGUAGGUCUUCUAAACUAAACCCUUUUAGGGAUUUUCCAUUUUUUUUCCUUUGUUUUCAAGAAAGGUAAACUCUCUUGAAAACCAAAAAACUAAUGCAUUCUUAAAUCCAGAUCACCAUUUUCAACAUAGUAUUUGGAUUUCCACCUUGCAUUUUUUAUUUUUUAUUUUUUUUAAUAGUCAAGGGCAUUUUAGGGAUUAUUGAAGGAUAAUAUCAAUAAGCUCAAUUUCCUACAUUAGUUAGGUCUUAGGCUCAAAUGUGAAACUUAUAGGGAUGUUAGGCCAAUUAUCAAACUUACUUGCCUAAAGCAUAAUUUCCCCUUUUCAAAAUAGUUGUUAAACAUCAAUCCCAAACAUGUGUAACCCUUUGAAGUACUUGUAUGUCAACCUUGUUUCCUUUCCCUCAUGCAACAUGACUUAUUGAUGGUUGCAUUGAAUCAUUAUCAUUCACCAAAUCCAUGCAACUAUGGACUACCUUUCAAAUCCCUUGAACAUAAAUGGUAAUUCCAAAACAACUCAAGUAUAAUCUUUCCGGCCUUUCAAAUGAUUUAAUUAAUUGAUGUUUGAAUAUACUUCAUAUAUUUUUUUAGAGCAAUUUUUAGGCAUAUGACAUAAAUCUCUAAUUUUUUUUAUUUUUAUAAAAGGUUUUAUAUUUUAUAUUACAAUUUCCUCUCUUUUUUUUCAUCUAAAAAACAAAAUAUAAAACCUUAAUAAACGAGUUUUGUCACAAUCCCUUAAAAGGUAAUCUAUUUUUAAAAAUUACUUUAACCAUUUUAGAUAUAUUGAUUCAGUCUAAUUUAAUUUUAAUAUUUUUUAUAAAAUAUUUUUAUUUUAUAUGAUUAUAAAUUAAUUACCAUUGAUUGCAUAUUAUAGAAUAUAUAUUCUAAAAUAUAUCCUAUUGACAAUAAUAUCAUAAGAUAUUAUAUCCAUAUCCUAAUAUAUUAUAUACUUUUAUUUUGUGCAAUUAGCAACAGGGUGGAAGACGGCUUAGGCGGGAGACGGCUUAACGGAAAUGUCGUCUGCCAUGCGUGUCCCUUCCCUUAGUGAGUCUGAACAGCUCCAACAUUUCUGACACGCCCUUCUUCGGUUAGCUCUUAAGUAUUUUCGUUAACCCCAUCACAUUUCGCCAUGUGGAUCUAAGCCUCAUGGUCCUUUCGUUCGUACUAUGAAUAUAUUCCUUAUCUAGAGUCUGGAUCCUUUAUCUCUGCACGUGUCUAUGGCUCUUCACCCCAGCAAGUAUGGCAUUACAAGGGCAAUAUCGUCAUUAAAGACCCAAAAGGCAAACGAAUGGCAUUAUCUUCCUUUUGGGUCUAUUCUAUUUAUAUUUAUAUUGCAAGUUAUUCGUGAUGACUUCUCUCAUAACAGCUAAAAACCACUCCAACAGAGCACACUUCACUUCUUCGUUUUUGUCUUUCCUCUUUUUUUUCCAGAGAAGCUGAGAAAGCCCAGCUUGCCCUCAACUCCCCGAUGGGUUUGAUGAAUGUUCUCAAAUUCUCAGCUGCAUGCUUUGAUCUUCUUGGCUGGUAUGUUGUCCACGGAUUUUCUCGUCAUUGGAAAAUGAAGUGGAAUUCUAUGUUUGAGGACAAAACUGGGAUUUGCUUUGAUUUCUCCAUGUUGGUUUUAUCCCUUUCCUUUGAAUUGUCCACAUUCUUGUCAUUGGUUGUUAGUUAUUUGUUUGGAUUUCUACUUGCAGGCCUCUGUUUGCACUGGGUUAUCCUCUGUAAGUCUUGGUCUUACACCCCAAGAUAUGAUCAUUCAUUUACUCUUUUCUUGUUCUAUGAAUUCUUAGUUCUGUUACAUUUAUUGGGUUGGAUUAUUAGUUAUUAUAUUAAUAAUCAUCAACGUCAUCUCGGUUCUUCACAGAUGUGCUUCAAUUCGGGUAAUUGAGACUAACUCAAUCUCAGACGUUCGGAAGUUGGUGGCGUAUUGGGUUCUAUUUUCCUUGGUUUCACUCUUUGAUCAUACUUUUGCCAAGCUCCUUGAAUGGUAAUUUUGCUCAACUGCAUUCCACUAUAUGUGGCUCUAUUUCUUUCAUUUCUCUGCCCUUAAGGAAUUUGGAGUUGCUUUUUUCAGUUUUCUUCCCUGUGAAAAUAAUCGAGAUGUUUAAUGUUCCAGGCCUGCAUGCUCAAGGAAGUGGUGUCAGCUUUGGAAAUAAGAUGGAUCUACUAGUUUUUAUUUCUCAUCUUUAUAGGGAACUUUCCAUAAUCACAGUGAUGAAUAAUUGUCUUGUUUGAAAGCAUGGUUGCACUUAUUUCCAUGGAAUUUGUCUGCUGAGAAACAAAUGGAAAUAGAAAAUUCAGAAUCUGACAAGUUUGUGUAGGGCAACUGGAUCUAAUCUCUUAGUCGAAGCUUAAUUGGGGCAAAUGCUGAUCAUCUUUGGACCAUUGAAGGCUCUAAUCUGUGCACAAUUCUAAUGUUUUUGUUUUCUUCAUUUCUUUUUCAACUGUUCAUAAUAGAUGUCAAAAGAUAAAACCGAACUUAUGUAGUCCAUCCAAGUGGAUGCAUAUAAAUUUAACAGAAACUGAAAUUCGAAGAAAUUUAUUUAUUUUUUUAAAUAUUUUAUUUUCUUAUAUAAUGCAUGUCAGGAUACCAUUCUGGCCUUACAUAAAGCUGAUGGUCAUCUGCUGGAUGGUGAUACCGCAUUUUGAUGGUUCAUAUUAUGUCUAUCAACACCUAGUUCAUCCAUGCUUGUCCAUUGAUCCACAAGUUGUCAUGAAUUGGCUUUUCAAUGAAUCAAAAAAGAAGUUUCAUAGCAGAGAAAACUUUCUUGUUUCAGCAGACCAAUAUAUUAAGGAGAAUGGACCUGAAGCUUUGAAGAAACUACUUGCUAGGAAGGUAUGCCAUUAUAAGUAGGAUUAUCAACAAGUCAAACAGAGUUUUAUUUGAGAUGUUCAAGUAAAAAAUGACUAUAGCAGGUCAUCUAGAAUUAUGUGGUCUAAAUUCAUGUAUAUAUCUAUAUAUAAUUGUGUUCUCUUUUUUUCACAUAUGCAUGUGCAUUUAGAUUUACAUAAUUAUAUAUGCAUAAUCAGAUUCAACUGUGAUAGCCCGGGAUUUAAUUCAGUAAUCAACUCUUCUGGGAACAUGUUGGUUAUGGUUUCUCUCUCACUGUCCUCUUAUUUAUACAUGACUUUGGCUUCAGUUGAGGAGCACAAAGCCUAAUGUUGAAGUGAAAGAGAUCAAAGCACCUGCAGCACCGGAGAAAAAAGGGGAAGCGGUAUGCACUCUAAUGUGGCUAUUUUAUUUCUAUGGAGGCAGAUCCCCAGAAAAAUGUUGCUCAUGUAAAUUAGUGAUGCAUUUAAAAGAAAAACCACUUUAUGUAUGUUUCUGUGAAAAAGAGAACAAGUUUAUGGAUUAAGUGAUAUUUUUUAUGGUGAAAUAAUCAAUAAUUUUCAAAAUAAUAAUAUAUUCGUGCAUGUUUUUGCAAUUCAUGAAUUCCUUUUACGAUUGAUUCUUCUCACCUCAGUGGAAGUGUGAAGAGCCUAAUGUUGCAGAAAAGGAGAUCCAAGUAGUCAAAGUAACAGACAUAAAAAAUGGGGGGAUGGAGCAAAGAGGGUAAGUUUUCCUUUUUAUUUAUAAGGAAGGCUGUCUUCACACAAGGAUUAUUGUUAUUAUUUUUAAGACAUGAAUGUUGAAUGCAUUUGGAAUUGUCGUUGAAUCAUGUGAAGUGUGAAGGUGCAAAUGGUGCUAAGAAGGAGAUCAAAGUGAUGGAAGUAACACAGAUAACAUUUGGUGAUACAGAACAGUGGGUAAGGUUUCUUGUCAUACUUAAACGGCACCUCAUAUUUCACUAGGAUUAAUUUUGGCCUACAAACAUAUUUGGCUACAAGUUGAAGACAGAUUUCCAGAUACUGGUAGAAGUUGAGACAUAAGUAAUGAAUGAGUUUAGAAACAUGCACAACUCUUGUGUGAAACACAAUGAGAGUGGAAAAUAGCUAAGUUGAAAAAUGGCCAAAUACUAUUUUGUAGUUCCCCCCACCACUUAAGUAAUUUUUGUCAUCCUUUGUGAAUGGACAAUGCAGUCCCUUCAGUAAUUCCGCUAUAUUCAUGACUUGGUGAAGCAUAUAACCAUUAGUGUCUUGUCCUAAGUUGACCUUUAAUGAUGAUCCAUUGAGAGGGAUCUGACUUUUGUCAACCCUCUUAGAGGUUAAACAUACGGGGCUUAACCCACUUUUCAAUCUCAUUGGAUAUAUGGCACGUGGUAUCCUCUUCAUCUUGAAAGAGUGAAGUGGUCAUACUCUUUCCUCCGAGUCCAUCGUGGCCAUGCACUUCUGGCUCAUUGGGCUGAGUGAAAGGAUUCCCUUCUGCUUCAAAUCAUAGAGAGAUAUGCCAUGGUCAGCCUCUUUAAUUUGAAGGAUUGAAGUACUCAAAUCCAUUUCUUUGCAUCCAUCUUAGUCCUGCUUCCAUGUCUCAUGGUUAACCAGGAAGAUCAAGCUUCCAUCCAUGAGAUCAGCAUCUGCAGGGUUAUGACUCCACCCUUCCUUGGCAUAGGAAAGCGAUCAUUAAGCCACAUGUCGGAUGACAGAAGUCGUCAUUCAGGUUAUCUUGAGAACUAGGGAAGUUGGAAUUCUAAUUAUUGCAUAUGGUUCUUGAUGUUUAGCCAAUAUACUAUAGGAUUUUAAGCAUCAUGCCCAUGUGCAUUGUGGUUUUUUAUCAGCUAUAUGGUUUACCAAACUGAGGGAUUGAUUAUAGUCAUAAGUACCCUUUUCCCAUUAAUUUCUUGCAUGUGCUUUGCUGAGAUUAUGUUUUUGACAGUGCUAAUCAGGGCAAACCAACAAACAGCUUUAUGUUAACUUUUACAAACUGCCACAUUUUCAGGUUGAACGAUCAGACAUAAAUCUUGGUGAAACUAGAAGUAAUACAACCUGUGCUGUGGAGAUAAAAGAAAGGGCAGCAGCACUGGUGGCUGCAGAAAUUGAGGCAUGUAGAGACAAUAGAACCCCCGAGAUACCUCUGCAUAAGAAAGUCCAGAAAGAGUGGGCUUGUGCUGUAUGCCAGUUCACAACCCAAAGUGAAGUGACCUUCAAUUCCCACCUUCAAGGGAAGAGACAUCAGGCCACUUCUGAGCAGUUGAGAGCCAAAAACCAGGCAACCAAAACCAAUUGUUCCCCAUCUGCUUCAAAGGCCAAGAAAUCUGAUCAGUCCACCAAAGAGGAGCAACCAAAGUGUCCUUCCAACAAUCUGAAUUCCAAAAACAAUGGAAUCUCAGCUGCUUCAACAGUGAAGAAACCUGACGAGACCAAAGAUGAUGAGCAACAAAAGUGUGCAUCCAGCAAUGGACCAAACCAGAAGAAUAACAAAAAGCAAGAGGAGAAGGUGCUAGUUCUUGAGACCAAUGAGCAAGGCCAUCAGAAUAAUUUUGAUCCACGAUCCCACAUUUAUUUUGGGUCUCACAAGUUUCAAAUUUGCAGAAAAAUGAAAGAUGUUUGAGAGAAAAUUAAAUCAUAUUGCACUACUGUUAGGAAAAAUAUGGCUGAAUCCAAUUGCUUUUCUUCUCCAAGUCUAUUAAAAAUAUAAUUUUUUCUCCAUUCCUGACAAAAUUUAAAUUUUUUCCUUAAAAAAAAAAAAAUUAAGUUUGAUCACCUAACACAUCUUUCUAAACUCAAUCUCAACUUGAAAAAUCAAACCUUAAUGGAUGGACUAUAGAAAUAGUGAGAAAACACUUCUGGGGUUUUUUUUUUCUUCCAACAUCAAAUUUUUCUAUAUAUGGGAUUUCACAUGCAAAAGCAGGAGUAGAUUUGCUUGUGUUUGAUGUAUGUAUUAGAAAAAUUUGUCCCUUCUGGGAUGUUUAAUACUUUUCUAUUCUUUUAUAUGCAUGUUUAGCUAGAAGAUAUAGAAUCGAUACCAUUCCUUAAAAGUGAUAGCCACAACUGUGAUAAUUAAACACCAAAGAAUGUGAAGAUCUAUAUAUUCUUUUUUUUUUCCUCUCUCUUUCAAUAAUGAAGCUAAGAUGUGUUGUAAGCAUCAAAUGCAUUGUCUCUGCUUGAAUAUAUACAAAGCCAAGGACCACAAGAUGGAUAGAUAUGGGGACGCACAAAACUUCUCAAACAUGAUUAUAUUAAUCAAGAAUUCAACUAAGCUUAAAUUCAAGAUGUUGAUUUCUAGCAUCUCUGGUGCUAUAGGAUGACUAUUGAUCCUGUACUGUUAUGUGCCCUACUGAUAUAUUCUUCGGGUUGUUAUGUAUAAAUAAAAUUUUUGGGAAAGUUUGCUUGGUGGUUACACUAUCACUAUUUAGGCCAGUAAAAAUUGGAAGCCUUUGUAAAAAACUGAUGGUCCAAGAGCUAUUCUACUUCAUCAUCCAUGUAAUAUGACGAUACAAAUUUGACUAAAUGCAGCUAUAGAAGGCUUAGGACCAUAAACCAAGCCUAGUCGAUGUCACUCACCUAAAUUUAUGCAUAAAGCUUUUGGAUGGCUCAGAGUUAUAUUUAAUUACUGUUAUGUUCGCAACUAUAUUUUCAUUGGAUUUAUAGUCCAGCUUGAGAACUAGUCCUCCAUUGCACAUAAUGUCCACACAAGGCCACAGUGCCCGCUCAAAGGCCAUAGCGCUACUCAAGGAUAUAGUGCUUACUCAAGGCCAUAGAGCCCACCUAAGGCUAACGACCCAAAAGGAGAAAAAGGUUGGUUCCACGUACUCUAAUAUUUACUAGAAAAGGUUCUUCCUAUUAAAGAACAAAAAAUUGCAUUCCCUUGUGACCAAUCCAAACAGUAGACCACUGACUUGUAUAAGGCAUUAUUCACCAUGCAAGCACUUUUUCAGCAACCUACCAUCUGGCAUGAACCAUUUUGGAUUGAUUCACAAAGCAAUGGUGUUAUAUUAAGCAUAUUCAAUAUAGAACCAAAUUGUGCCUCCUUAGAUUAACUAAAAUAUUUCCAUUGCAAGAUGUGCAGAUAGGCAUAUGAUCAUGAAGUAAUUUCCUGAUGAUAAUACCCCACAAAAUAUUUCUUUUUCUCACUGAUCUCUCCUAGAUUUUCAGUUCACCCAUCCAUGGCGCCUGACUAAAAAUGGGGGCAUUUUGGAUACCCCGAGCAGUAAGUUAGCCUGGUAGGCAUCCCGUUGCAAGCAAAGUCAACCCGAGCGGUCCAUUUGACCAAAGCUUAUCCAGGCAGUAAGCGUCCAUAUACAGCUAACUGUUAUGCACCAUCAACAGGUUGAGGUUACAAGAUUAAAGAGUCAUAAUGGCCAAAUGGAAGUUACACGACUCGGCCUAUAUAAUAACAGUAUGACAAAAAAUGCAGGUAUGAAGAACUAUCACUGAAAAAAUUUAUUCCUAAAAAUCCUUUAAGCUCCUUUAAGCUAACUUGGGCAUUGGAGAGGUCUCUCCGAAGCACACUCGAGCUUACCUUUUUGUAAGACAUCGAGAACAAGAGGCAUUGAAGUGAUUGUCCGGAGGGUUGAACUUGGUCGGGAACCAACAAUACACACUAUUCAAAAAUAGGGAUCAUAUUAAAUUAUUAAUGCAACCAUAGGAAGCAAUUGAGGACAAGGGUGUUAUUUGAUUAAAAGGGUAAUUGAAAACCUAAAUUUUGAAAUUUAACCCUCCAUUCUAUUUGGCCUUAUGUGAACAAAAAUGCCUUCAUUAUUUUCUUGUAAAAAUAACUCACCCAUUUAAACCUUACAUGAAAAUACUUAAAAUGGUAAAUGAUAUGUUAAAAAUUGAUUAUUUUUCAAAUAAAACAUAAGAAGGGUCAAAUUCAUGAAAGGAUUAUUUCAUCCCUUUUAAUCAAUUAAUUCGAUUUAUUUCUUUUUAUUUUUUUUCUCUCCAUGUUAAUUUUCACAUCACCCAACAACACCACUCUUAAUUCACACAAGUUUGAAGUUUUUGAAUGAGAUAUAUUCGUAAUUAUAUUGUAAUUGUGUUAUAAUAACCAUUUCGUACUUGGAUUUGUUCUUUCAGUCCAUUUAACCUUUUUGUUUAUUCAUGUCAAAACAAUGUACUUAUAAUCGAAUCCAUUUAUGACAUGUUGAUCUUAUAUAAAUUUAUUAAUUUUAUAUAUUUAAAAAUUAUAAAAAUUAAAUAUACUUUUUCAAUUAUGAAUAUCAUAUUACUAAAAUAUUAAAUAACAAAUUAACUUGAAAUGCUAUAUAUUUCAUUAAUUAUUUUAUAAUUAAAACAUUAAAUGAAAUAAUAAACAAGUAUAAAAUAGAAAAUUCUAUCUUAGUUAGAAAUUAUAAACUGUUAUUGAGACAUAUAAGUAUUAAAAUUCUACCCAUUUCACUACCAAACAACUUAUGUUUUUAGUCAUAAUUUAACCUUAUGAUGAACACUUAAAUAAAAUUUGUCAUCUUUUUCUAUUGAUUUAUAUUUAUUUAUUUAAAAAUUUUGUCUGGCAUAAACUAUCAUCUCACAAAAUCAUCAUUGAUGAGUAGGCUAUGCCCCAGUGUAAGCAUCUCCAAAUCAAACAUCAAUGAGAGGAGUACAACCAAUCAUACAUCAUCUUAUCAAAAUGAAUCUCCGCUUUUCAAAGUCAUCGUGGUAACGUGAAGAGAGUAUUUGACCUCCUCUAAAGAAAAAACAUGUCUUGAUGUGAAAAAGAUCAAGCAAAGUGGUAUGCCUCAACAAAAAUGUGCUCAAACAUGAUCAUGCCCCGAUGUAAGUUAGUAUCUCUAAGAUCAAUCGCCAAUGAAAAGGUUAUUCCCCAGUAUAGGGCAAACUCUGAAAUGACUAAACUCCGUUGCAAGCUCUCAUAAGUGUCUGUGUCAUGAUCCAAUCAUCGCAAAAAUUUGUCAACAAUGAUGAGAAGGCUAUGCUCCUAUAAUCACAUCAAAGAAAUCACUCGGUCAUAUUACUCCAAUGUGAAAGAAAUCUAAUCACCUCCAAGGAACAGCUAUGCCUCAAAACCAUCAUCGACUGAGAGGGGGAUGCCCCUGAUCCAAUCACCACCCUAACUAACGUACCCAUCAUGAGGAACACUUGUUUGAGCUCCAUAAUGGGGAUCAACCAUUAGAUGAACAAGAUUCGAAUAUUACUUGCUCCCCAUUUCAACCAAUGAAUGAUGUACCUGGAAACCUUGUAGACAACCAUAGUUUUCAGCCUUCUUCCUCGCGAUCAUCUAGAACAGAGUCGGUAAGCUUCACUCAUUUCUUAUAAUGGACCUUGACCCACAACGUCGAACUACCUGUAUGCAAAAUUAUCCGUCCAGAAAACCCAUCCAUACAAUUCAGGUUCAAAACCCACAAGAACCACCCUAUGAAUAAACUAAUUAUAGCUGGCUUCGUUGCAAUAGGCAUUAACUUUCUUAUGCUGACAGUCCUAGCAUCAUUUACCAAAGGAUCAACAACUUUUCCAUGUCAGAGAACAUUAUCAAUCACAAUGACACCCCUGGUCCUCACUAGUUGCGAUAGCAAUUUAAAGUAUUCUUGAUUCAAAGGGUAAACAAAACAAAAAAGAAAACCCUAAGUGUGACUCCUUAUUUGAAAAAUGUGGUUUAUGAAAAACCGGAUCGAGCUUAGGGGUCAGGUUACUUAUCGGGAAGGUACAAAAAAAACCGUAGCACCCCUCUAAGUCCCUAAAAUGGGUCUCUAUUGAUAAAAUGAAGCAAUCAUGGCAAUUGGUAAGGAAAUCAUUGAGUAUCAACAUGAUCACACAUUGAGAGUUAAAGCAUGCAUGAGGAAUGGUCAAAGUGAGAAAGGAUGCGUACCUUAGCAACGAGUCCCAAUGCGCUAUCAAGAAAUUGGGUUAGUGCACAAUCAAUAAAUAUAAAAUAUAACACACAUGCAUCACUAAAUAGGGUAAUAAAUCCCCGAUGACAAACCUUGCACUUCACUCAGGUUUAUUUCUACUUCUCUGAUGUUGGGCCCCACCAAAGCUCAUUUUAUUUUGCAUGAAUCAACUCCAAUAACUCCAUUAUUCGGAAUUACGAAAUUUAAUUCUUGCUUAUUUUAAAGCAUUUUAAAAAUAGAGGAGAUAUGAGAAUUGCUCGCCAGAAAAGAAGAUGGCGGCAAAAUUUUAAUGAAAAACGAGUUUUUGGAACCUAAGAAAAAUGUUAAGGAUGGAAAAUUUUGGAGGUUUGAAAUUAAUUAAAAAUUAGAAUUGAGGAAUUUAUUUACAAAAUGGGGUUUAGGAAAAUUAUUUUCAAAAAAAAAAAAUGAUGAAAUGAGAGAUGGCACGUGACACAAGGGUGGCCAUGCUGAAGGCGUUCUCUUCUGGCCCAAGCUGGAAAUGCACUCCAAUUAUCCUUCUUUUCUGGUAUAACACCUUCAUCAAAAUAAAUAGCUUUUGCACCAUACUCUGAUAGACAAGGACCAAUAACAAUGCCUAUAUUUGCCUUAAGUAGACAAAGUAAGUCACCCAUUGAACCUCCAAUAUAAAUUGUCAAGUGCUCUGUGUCAUUACUGCAUCCCUCCUUCAAGAUGUCCUUAGAAACCUAAAGCUUUUCCACGACAUACUCCAUCUUCUUAAUGAUUUCACCCGUGGAAAUGGAUUCUUCACAAGCCAACUCAUUUGAAUAUACUCUCAAAACACCCAUAUCACCUGAUGAAAAUGCUGAUCUAACGAAAUCGCCACACCAACAGUAUGAAAGUCCAUGAACAUCUGCUUUCAGAUUAUUAUUUUUAAGAAUCUUUUGGAAGAAACCUGUGCAACCAUCUUGAAGAAUUAGACCUUGACCAACCUGUUUUAUAUCAUCUGAAUUUAAACCCUUCAAUACUCCAGACUGAGUCACUCUUGAAUCUGCCUUUUCCUCAAAAUCAGAAAGUUGCUCAAGUGCUUUACAUAAGCCUUCAUAAUUGAAUUUUUCCACUGUUUCACUGGGGACGAUGCUUCCCAUGCAUUUUUCAAGCUCUUCAGUAUGCUGGGUAGAUAGAACACCCCAUGUGUGUGUCCAGAUCACCAUGAGUGACCAUUUGAACCUUGACGAAUGAGAGAGUACAUAACAUUUAAGCACACAGGACAUAUAUUAACAUUCUCCAUUAGCUUCUCUUUGCCUUUGUCCACCUCUUGACCUCCCAUGCAGCCAACUGUGAAGACCACGUCCAGGUGCAGUCACGUGGUGACACAUCUCAUGGUCUUCCUCAUCCAAUAAAUCACAUGCUCUGUUAAAUCUGCUACCCGAAUGGAUACCUCCUAUCCAUCAACCUGAAUAUACUCCGAGCUUUCUUCAUAAAACCCAAGAAACUCCAGAAGGCAUCAUGGUUCUCCUCCAUCAUUGAAAUGAUUAGGGAUAGUAAAUCACUCAUCCCUUAGCAAUAUCCCAUUUUUAAACCAUAGGGUGCGUAGGCUUCUAGAAUAGUAGCAAAGUGAGCAACACGGAAAAUCUUGCGUGGAUCCAAGUUCCAUGAUGGUGAUCGUAGCCUCACCUUUGAAAUCACAAGACCCAGAACCCAUUCGUUCUUCCUGGUAAUAACUAUCAGAUGCAUAGGAGGCAGGGUUCUUCAGAUUGUUGAUUUGGUAAAAGCCUCUUCUGGUUGAACCCCUGAAUGAUUCACUUUUCUCAGUCCGCAAACCUAGUUCAGAACAGCCCGCAAGAUCAGAACCUUAACCUAGGCGUGGAGAUCCAGUGUUGUAUAACGCCUCAAUUGUCGGAAGCAGCCAUGGCCCAAACAAUGAUAUAAUGGUCAGCAAGUUGUCCCCAAGGACCAUGACAGUGAUGAGCAUUUCCGGGCAGCGCGUCACCACGUUCCACGUCGCGACGGUAAUGGCUAUGGACUGAGUGUCAUGGUCAGGGAGCUUGAUGAAGCAGGUGAAAAUCUGGUGUUUUAGAUUCUGAGGCAAUGACUGCUUGAUCGGUCGGAUUCUAGUACCGGCGUUACAUUGGGGAGGCAAUCUUAAAGUUCCAACGGAGGUAGUAGUGGACUAAUAUUCCUCAAUAACCAAACUUGAGUUUCUCACUUUCCGCUUCUCAAGGCAUUCACCUGAAACGCUUCAGGCGCCCAAACCCUUUCUGCUCAUCAGUAUAAUCACGCGCAUGAAAGUCUUAACUGCCUUCUAAACUUCACAACUUCAUCUUGCAUCUGGGUCAUCGUCGGCACGAACUUAUCACCUGAUUCAGUUAAUAUCCCCAUAUAACAAGUUCCAAUGAAGUCGCAACUUUGCAUCUUCUUUUCUGCGAUUACUUUGAUUCUCAAAGCCGAUUACUUGUUGCAGUCCAUAGGAGAUUCAAUAAUCAAACAUCAUGCACAAGCAAAAAGGCAACAAAAUACAUCGGCAUGUGGCCCAUACACCCUCCAAAAUCUUCACUCAUUUAGUAAGUUUUAGAUUCAAAAGAGUUAGCCUUCUGGUGAGCAACCCGAUACCCAUAACGAAUGAUGUAUCUGAAACACCUUUCCCACGUGGCCCUUGAAGGAUUCACUAGAAGGUGACCAUGCAUAGUAGGUCUUCACUCGCAGGAGAAUGAGAAGGAAAUAAACCUAAAGGGGGGUUGACAGCGUAGUCUAGAAGGUGAUGAGCUGAGCGGGUGGGGGUAUUAGGGUGGUCAAGUUCAGUGGGUAUGAAGGGUGGAAAGAUGGCAUGAUAGAGGAAUAAGCAGCUGAUAGUGGGUGCGAUGAUAUAAGGUAGGUUGACUAUGGAGAGUAUGGCAUUAAAGGAUGAAGACUUAGAGAGAGAGAGGUGGGUUUAAGGGUAUGGUGAGAUGGAGGGUUGAGGGUGAUAGGCUUGGAUAGUUGCAUGAGGAGGAUGAAAGGUGGGUAUGGAAAAUGUGCAUGGGUAGGAAAUGGGUAUAACAAUGGGUGUGAAUAUUGAGAGGUAGUGAAAUGAAGGCAGCCUUGCUCGUAUGGAUCAGUGUCGGAUUGAGUUAAGAAUGGUGAGAGAAAGGGAUUCGAUGAAUAUUGAAUGAUGGAAAAUGGUGAUUGGUUAGAUAGGGAUUUGUGGUCGAAUGGAAAUAGGAGACAUGAACAUAGAGAUGAGUGUGAUGGAUGAUAGUGGGCAUGAAGGGUAUUGGAUUUGUUCAUGGGUAUAGUGGUUAAAAGAGUGGUGAGAAGAAAAAAAAAUGGCCAUGUAAAUAGCAAUUAUACAUGUGGGCCCGUGAUUGCAAACGGGACUGCAUUGUUGCAUCUCAUGCUGAACCCUCACCUCCUUCUAGGAUCAUUUUCUGCAUCAAAGCUAGAUAAACUUAGAUGGUAUUUCCUGCCAAUUUUGGAUGCCCCCCACUUUGGAAAUAUUUCCUUUUCACCCAUCAGAAUAUGCUUAUCAGGUGUACUUGACUCAGGUUCAUUCCCAUAUUGCCUCUCUGAUUUAUGAUCUUCAAAGGUUUUGCAUGAAGGAAGCCUUUCACUGCAUUCCCCUUCAUCCACCAGACCUUCAGAGCAUCGUUUCCAACAAAAGCAACCUUGACUCUUCUAGUCCCAUCAGAAAAAAGUCUGAAUAUCCUCAGUUUAUGUCAUCCCUUGAUGCCCAACUCAGAAAUGAUCCAAAAAACAGUCAUCUCCCAUAUUUGGCUUCCCAGAAACACCUCGACUCAGAUGGCCAGUCCAAAUGUGAUACCCAACAUUCUAAAAAUGCUAAAAACAGAGGAGAUGAUGAAGAAAAACAGAGCAUGUAUAAAAGAAAAAAAAAAGGACUGUUAAAUCUCACUCCAUUCCAUAAAUGCUAAUGGGGUGGAUAUGGUGGAAUCAAAAGGAAGCAAGAGCGUGAUCUUCAAAAUCAAAAGCAAUGAUGGAUCCAUAUUCAAAACGUUCCAGAAUAGAGAAAGACACAAAUAAGGAGCAGGGUUUUUUUUUGUUACUGGCAGGAAGAUAUUUUUUCUAGAGAGUAACUAGAGAGAAAAAUAGGAAGAAAAGGGAAGAGCAUAGAAGACAUCUACAUAGGAGAGUAUUCAUUGUUGUGAGGAGUAGUAGAGAGCUUAGGAGGAGUUACAAAGAGAGUGAGUUUGGUUAGAGGAGGAAGUUUUGUUGGUUUUUCAGAAAGGAUUCUAGCUUGAGUGAGAGCCAUUCUAGAGAGGGUUAGAGAGGAGAAAGGUGUGUUUUGAGCAGCAAAGACACGAAGCAAAAUAGAGCAGCCAGGAAAGAGAAGCAGAAAAUCAAAAUUACUAAAAAAUUAGUGAAAGCUGUGAAAUUUCAUAUUGUUACUAAUUAUUAUAAUUUUUUUUUGUAUUUUCAAUAUUUCAACCAAUAUUUUAUAUAAUUAAAUUUAAAUUAUAAGAAUUAUAUUAUUAAUACACAUAACUAUCUUAAUGUUUUAACAAUGUAUACUUAUUUAAAUUUAUUUCAAUUUUUUUAUUUUUUUAUAAAUAUCUAAUUAGACUUAUAAUUCAUUGAAAUUAUUCAUUUUUUUUUUACUUCAUAAACCAAUUAUAUUACUUUUUGUAUUUUCAAUAUUCAUUUGGAAAAAAUAAUUUCAAUUUAAAAUAAAAUAAAUUAAUUAACUCUCAAUUUAUAAAUUGUGUCAUUGAAUUAUUUUUUAUUUAUAAUAUUUAGUUUAUUUUAAAUUUAAUUUUUUUUCUUCACCUUUUGGUUUAUCACUUUAUAUUAAAAAAUAAAAUAAAAUUGAAUUUCUUUUAAUUUAUAUUUUCACAAAUUAUUCAAUAUUUUUUUAAUUUUUAUAAAAUAAAUCCUCAGAUUAUAUAAUUGGAUGUUGUAAAGAGUUAAAAUUUUUGUGUUGCAUUGAAUUAUUUUUUCUAACAAAAGUAUAUUUGGGUACCGUAGACAUUAUAUCCAUAUCUUAACGUAUUAUAUACUUUUAUUUUGUGCAAUUAGCAAUUGAGCGGAAGACGCGGAGCCGGCUAACGGAAAUACCGCGUGUCACGCGUGUCCCUUCCCGUACCAAGUCUCAACUGCUUCAAGAUUUCCGACGCGCCCUUCUUCGCUUAACUCUUAAGUCUUUUCUUCCACUCUUCCUUAAACCCAUCACAUUUCGCCGCGUGGACCUAAGUCUCAAUGUCCUUGUGUUCAUACGAUGUAUGUUCCCCCAAUUCCUCAUCUACACUGAAACUCCAUACUCGCCUACUCAAUCACUUCUCUACUCUAGAGUCUGGAUGCUUAUCUCUGCGCGUGUCGAUGGCUCUUCACCCCAGCGAGUAUGGCAUUACAAGGGCAAUAUCGUCAUUAAAGACACAACAGAGUGUCUAUUUUAUUUAAGCUGUACGUAAUCGUGAUUGACUUCUUAGUAUCCUUUUGCUCCUAGUCUUCUCCCGCGUCUCUUAUAAAAACUAAAGAAAACCACUCCAAGAGAGCACACUACAAGAAUCUUCUUCCUUUUUUUCUUUCCUCUUUCUCUUUACAGAUAAACUGAGAAAGCCCAGCUCAUCCCUCAAUUCCCAGAUGGGUUUCAUGAAUGUUCUCAAGUUCUCAGCUGCAUGCUUUGAUCUUCUUGGCUGGUAUGUUGUCCACGCGUUUUCUUGCCAUUGGAAAUUUUUGGGAAAUGAAGUGGAAUUCUCUGUUUGAGGACAAACAUGGGAUUUUCUUUGAUUUCUCCCUGUUGGUUUUAUCUAUAUUCUUUGAAUUACCCACAUUCUUGUCAUUGAUUGUUAGUCAUUUGUUUGGAUUUCUACUUGCAGGCCUCUAUGUGCACUGGGUUAUCCUCUGUAAGUCUUGGUCUUACACCUCAAGAUAUGAUGAUUCAUUUACUCUUUUCUUGUUCUACGAAUGGUUCAGUUACAUUUAUUGUGUUGGGAAACUGAAAAGGAAAAGGAUUAUUAGUUAUUAUCGUAAUAAUCAUCAACAUCAUCUCGGUUCUUCACAGAUGUGCUUCAAUUCGGGCAAUUGAGACUAACUCAAUCUCAGACUUUCGGAAGUUGGUGGCGUAUUGGGUUCUAUUUUCCUUGAUUUCACUCUUUGAUCAUGCUUUUUCCAAGCUCCUUGAAUGGUAAUUUUGCUCAACUGCAUUCCACUAUAUGUGACUCUGUUUGUUUCAUUUCUUUGCCCUUAAGGAAUUUGGAGUUGCUUUUUUCAGUUUUCUUUCCUAUGAAAAUAAUCGAGAGGUCUCCAUGUAUUUUAUAUUCCUUCAUUUCUCUGCUUUGACAAAGGCCCACAUUCUGAUCAGCAGAAAGGUUAUAACAUUUGAAAAAGAAGUGCUUUAUUUUUGUUUUUUGUUAGUACAAUAAUUUUCGUUUGGAUAAAUGGUCUGAAGGGUGUUUGUGUUUGGCUGAGUUCAUGGAAUUUUCUAGCUAAUUUGGGAUUUAUUCUCAAUUUCAAGAUCAUUGUGGAUAUGUCAGAAAUUAAUGAAAUAUAAACGGUGGAAUGUGAUUUUCUUGUUUAAGAAAAGUUUUUCUUUGAAAAUACGGGUGCACCUGACCUACCUUAUUGUGCUACUUGGAACACAAAACAUUAGUACAGGUAAUUUAUUAACUAAAUUGUACACUUUUUGAUAGUUCAAGGAGGUGGUUUUCUUCUUUUAGGGUGUCAGCUUUGGAAAUAGGAUGGAUCUAAAAGUUUUUAUGUCUCAUCUUUAUAGGGAACUUGAAAGCAUGGAUGCACUUAUUUCCAUGGAAUUUGGCUUCCUUGAAAUCAAAUUAAGCUUUAUGCAUCAUUUGGAUGCUGAGAAACAAAUGGAAAUAGAAAAUUCAGAAUCUGACAAGUUUUUGUAGGGCAACUGGAUCUAAUCUCUUAGUCGAAGCCUAAUUGGGGCAAAUGCUGAUCAUCUUUGGACCCCAUUGAAAGCUCUAAUCUGUGCACAAUUCUAAUGUUUUUGUUUUCUUCAUUUCUUUUUCAACUUUUCACAAUAGAUGUCAAAGGUUAAAACCAAAUUUACGCAGUCCAUCCAAGUGGAUGCAUAUAAAUUUAACAGAAACUGAAAUUCGAAGAAAUUUAUUUUCCCUUUUGUAAAUGGUGUUUAAAUAUUUUAUUUUCUUAUAUAAUGCAUGUCAGGGUACCAUUCUGGCCUUACAUAAAGCUGAUGGUCAUCUGCUGGCUGGUGAUACAGCAGUUUGAUGGUUCAUAUUAUGUCUAUCAACACCUAGUUCAGCCAUGCUUGUCCAUGGAUCCACAAGCUGUCAUGAACUGGCUCUUCAAUGAAUCAAAAAAGAAGUUUCAUAGCAGAGAAAACUUUCUUGUUUCAGCAGACCGAUAUAUUAAGGAGAAUGGACCUGAAGCUUUGGAGAAACUACUUUCUAGGAAGGUAUGCCAUUAUAAGUAGGAUUAUCAACAAGUCAAACAGAGUUUUAUUUGAGAUGUUCAGGUAAAAAAUGACUAUAGUAGGUCAUCUAGAAUCAUUUGGUCUAAAUUCAUGUAUAUAUCUAUAUAUAAUUGUGUUCUCUUUUUUUCACAUAUGCAUGUGCAUUUAGAUUUACAUAAUUAUAUAUGCAUAAUCAGAUUCAACUGUGAUAGCCCGGAAUUAUUUCAGUAAUCAACUCUUCUGGGAACAUGUUGGUUAUGGUUUCUCUCUCACUGUCCUCUUCUUUAUACAUGACUUUGGCUUCAGUUGAGGAGCGCAAAGCCUAAUGUUGAAGUGAAAAAGAUCAAAGCACCUGCAGCACCGGAGAAAAAAGGGGAACAGGUAAGUUCUCUAAUGUGACUAUUUAAUUUCUAUGAGGCAGAUCCCCAGAGAAAUGUUGCUCAUGUAAAUUACUGAUGCAUUUGAUUCAAUGGCAUGGUUUUAAAAGAAAAACCACUUUAUGUAUGUUUCUGUGAAUAAGAGAACAAGUUUAUGGAUUAAAUGAUAUUUUUUAUGGUGGAUUAAUCAAUAAUUUUCAAAAUAAUAAUAUAUUCGUGCAUGUUUUUGCAAUUCAUGAAUUCCUUUUAUGAUUGAUUCUUCUUGCCUUUUUUCUCACCUCAGUGGAAGUGUGAAGAGCCUAAUGUUGCUCAAAAGGAGAUCCAAGUUGUCAAAGUAACAGAGAUAAAAAAUGGGGGGGAUGGAGCAAAGAGGGUAAGUUUUGCUUUUUAUUUAUAAAGUAGGCUGUCUUCACACAAGGAUUAUUAUCUUUAAGACAUGAAUGUUGAAUGCUUUUGGAAUUGUCCAUGAAUCAUGUGUAGUGUGAAUGGCCUAAUGCUGCUAAGAAGGAGGUCAAAGUGACAGAAGUAACACACAGAACAUUCGGUGGUACAGCACAGUGGGUAAGGUUUCAUGUCAUAUUUAAAUGGCUCCUCAUAUUUCACUAGGAUUAAUUUUGCCCCUACAAACAUAUUUGGCUACAAGUUAAGACAGAGUUCCAGAUGCUGAUAAAGUUGAGACAUAAGUAAUGAAUGAGUUUAGAAACAUGCACAACUCUUGUGUGAAACACAAUGAGAGUGGAAAAUAGCUAAGUUGAAAAAUGGCCAAAUACUAUUUUGUAGUUCCCCCUACCACUUAAGUAAUUUUUGUCAUCCUUUGUGAAUGGAAAAUCCAGUCCCUUCAGUAAUUCCGUUAUAUUCAUGACUUGGUGAAGCAUAUAACCAUUAGUGUCUUGCCUUAAGUCGACCUUUAAUGAUGAUCCAUUGAGAUGGGUCUGACUUUUGUCAACCCUCUUAUUCCCUUGAUCAUAGAGGUUAAACUUAGGGGGCUUAACCCACUUUUGAACCUUAUUGGAUAUAUGGCACAUGGUAUCCUCUUCAUCUUGAAAGAGUGAAGUGGUCAUACUCUUUCCUCUGAGUCCAUUGUGGCCAUGCACUUCUGGCCCAUUGGGCUGAGUGAAAGGAUUCCCUUCUGCUUCAAAUCAUAGAGAGAUAUGCCAUGGUCAGCCUCUUUAAUUCAAGGGAUCGAAGUACUCAAAUCCAUUUCUCUGCAUCCAUCUUAAUUCUGCAUUCAUGUCUCAUGGUUAACCAAGAAGAUCCAGCUUCCAUCCAUGAGAUCAGCAUCUGCAGGUUUAUGACACCACCCUUCCUUGGCAUAGGAAAGGGAUCAUUAAGCCAUGUGUUGGAUGACAGAAGUCAUCAUUCAGGUUAUCUUGAGAACUAAGGAAGUUGGAAUUCUAAUUAUUGCAUAUGGUUCUUGAUGUUUAGCCAAUAUACCGUAGGAUUUUAAGGAUCAUGCUCAUGUGCAUUGUGGUUGUUUAUCAGCUAUAUGGUUUACCAAAAUGAGGGACUGAUUAUGGUCAUAAGUACCUUUUUCCUAUUAAUUUCUUGCAUGUGCUCUGCUGAGAUUAUGUUUUUGACAGUCCAAAUCAGGGCAAACCAACAAACAGCUUUAUGUUAACUUUUACAAACUGCCACAUUUUCAGGUUAAACGAACAGAGAUAAAUCUUGGUGAAACUAGAAGUAAUACAACUUGUGCUGUGGAGAUAAAAGAAAGGGCAGCGGCACUGGUGGCUGCAGAAAUUGAGGCAUGUAGAGACGAUAGAACCCCCAAGAUACCUCUUCAUGAGAAAGUCCAGAAAGAGUGGGCUUGUGCUGUAUGCCAGGUCACAACCCAAAGUGAAGCGACCUUCAAUUCCCACCUUCAAGGGAAGAGACAUCAGGCCACUUCUGAGCAGCUGAGAGCCAAAAACCAGGCAACCAAAACCAAUUGUUCCCCAUCUGCUUCAAUGGCCAAGAAAUCUGAUCAGUCCACCAAAGAGGAGCAACCGAAGUGUACUUCCAACAAUCUGAAUUCCAAAAACAAUGGAAUCUCAGCUGCUUCAACAGUGAAGAAACCUGAUGACACCAAAGAUGAUGAGCGACAAAAGUCUGCAUCUAGCAAUGAACCGAACCAGAAGAAUAACAAAAAGCAAGAGGUACAGACCAAUGAGCAAGGCCAUCAGAAGAACUUAAAGCAAACUGGCGAUGGAAUGAAAGAGUUGAGAUUAUGCUGCAAUAUCUGUAAUGUAAGCUGCACAAGUGAGCUUGACAUGGCCUCUCAUCUCAAUGGAUGGAGGCACUUUAAUAUGAUAAAGGAGGCGUCUGAAUUAUGGUGCAGUAACUGCAAUGUAAGGUGCAACAGUGAGGCUGUCAUGGCCUCUCACCGAAAUGGGAGGAGGCACUUGAAGCAGCUGAAGGAACGGUCGGGAUUAUAGUGCAGUAUCUGUAGCGUGAGAUUGUGUUAGGAAGAGGUGGAAUGGGUUCCAAUCAGGAAUUAAGACUCGGUUCCAAGACAUGGAAAGUGUCUUUAGAUUAUGUUAUCUCCAUUUUUUUUAUUGUGAGAGGGGAGUAUAAGGAAUGAAAAUAAAUAUAUAUAUAUUUUUUAAUAGAGAUGAAUUUGAUAAUUUUAAUUAUUGUGUUUUGAUGUAUUUAGGAAUGUAAAAUUAAAAUAAUUAUUUAUUUUCAUUUUAGUAUUUGACAAUAAUAAAAUUAUGAAUUAAAAAAUAAUGUGAUAAUAAUACAUUUAUAUUUAAUUUAAAAUAUUUUUUAUUUUAUUUUAGAAGAAUAUGGGUUAAAUUCUUUUUUUAAAUAAUAAGCUUAAGAAAAAUAAUUUUUACUCAAUAAAUAAAAUUAAUCAUAAAAAGUCAUAACAACCUAAUAAAAAUAUAGGGGUAAAAUAAUAAUUUUAAAAUAUUAUUUAAGUUAUCCAAACAAAUUUGACUCUUCAUUCUCUCUCUUGAACCAAAUACGGUCUUUUAAGCGUUUGUCAACUUAUUUUUUUUUGCAAAAUAUCAAUAUUUUACUAAUAUUUUUAUCGAUUAUUUGCCAAUAUUUAUCGCCACGUCACCAAUUCUUUGAGUUUGACUUUCAAAAUUUUGAAAUGAUAUUUGAAGUCCAGUUCAGCCCAAAUCACUACACCCAUGAUUUUUCCCUUUUCUUUUUCUCCUUAAUUUUCACAUCACCCAACAACACUACUCUUAAUUCACACAAAUUUGAAGGUUUGGAACGAGACUUCUUCCUAAUUAUAUUGUAAUUAUGUUAUAAUAACCAUGUCGUAUUUGGAUUUAUUUAUUCAGUCCAUCUAAAUCUUUUGUUUAUUCAUGUAAAAAGAAUAUAGUUAUAAUCGAAUCCAUUUGUGACAUAUUCAUCUUUUAUAAAUUUAUUAAUUUUAUAUAUUUAAAAACUAUAAAAAUUAAAUAUAUUUUUUCAAUUAUGAAUAUCAUAUUACUAAAAUAUUAAAUAACUAAUUAACUUGAAAUGUUUUAUAUUUCAUUCAUUAUUUUAUAAUUACAACAUUAAGUGAAAUAAUAAAUAGGUUAAAAUAUAUAUUUUAUUUUAGUUAAAAAUUAUAAAUUGUUAUUGAGACGUAUAACUAUUAAAAUUCUACCCAUUUGACCAUCAAACAAACAACUUAAGUUUUUAGUCAUAAUUUAAGCUUCUGAUAAACUCUAUUUCCAUAAAUUAGAAACCGAAAUCAAUUUCUUCUUAGACUCAAAAACAUAAAGACAAUCUUUUAAUUCUAGAAGACAUCUAUCAUUUAAGAUAAGGGUAACAUAUCCCAUUGCCUAAACAACAACUCUUGCUUCAAAAGCCAAUGUCAAGUACAUAUCCCUAUCAUUCAACCUUUCCCUUAGCUAAAACCCCUAUAAAGAAUUAUAAACAUAAUCAAUGGCUCCAAAAUUUAUCCACCAAGAGUUAGUGGAAUCCAACACUAAACAUAAUUCAACUAUAAGAGAAUGAUGCAUAGUUGACUAUCUCUUCAAGAACUAAGGACAUUCCUUCUUCUUCUAAUGGCAUUUUUUACCACAAAGGAAACACUUGUCAUGACCCUUACUCUUCUUCUUCUUCCCCUUAGCCUUAAACUUCCCCUUCUGCUUGAUGAACUCUAUAGUGUUCUUCUUAUUUUGGCUAGAAAAACCUAAAGAACCCUUAACUGCCAUAUAAAUACCUCUCUGGUCCUUGAGAAUUCCCUCAGUCAUUUUGUGUUCUCUCAUUAGUUCAAUUGUAGUUUAAGAAAAAUAAUGUUUUUUAUUUUAUUUUAUGUGAUUGAACUUGGAAUGAAUUUCCAAGUUGCAUACAUACUUGGGUUGAGAUCAAGUCAUAACGUAGUUUAAGAAAAAGAUUUUUUAUUUUUUAUGUGAUUGAACUUGGAAUGAAUCUCUAAGCUACCUACGUAUCCAAGAUGGGAUCAAGUUCUAACAUAGUCACAAUGCAGUUCAAGAUUUUUUUUUUUCUUUUUUUGUGCUCUAACUUUUGUCAAGACUAAAGAUCUUAAUCUUGCAAGCAUGUCCUAACUUUUGUCUAGGUCACCUUUCCAAGUUUUCAACUUAGCAAACAUUUUUUUUUUUUGUUCUCUAACGUUUGCCAAGACAAAAGAUUUUAAUCUUGCAAGCAUGUCAUAACUUUUACCUAAGUCAGAUUUUUAGGUUUUCAAUGUGGUGGAUUUUUUUGUUUUUUAUUUUUUAUUUUUUAUUUUUUGUGUCGUAGGCAAUUUAGCUCAUACGGCCCAGAAGCGAUGUGUAGUUUGUUGGGAUUCAACCCUUAAAAGCAAAACAUGAUGUAACAAAGUUAGACUUAACUAUCCCCUUGCUAUCAUUUUGGUGUAUUAACAUUGAUUUAAACAUUCAACUCAUAUUUUACAUUGUACAUGACUUAGGUGCAUUAGGAGUUGCUCAUAAGAUACAUGGAUUCCUUGUAAGUAGAUGAGUUAUCCAUAGUCAGUUCAUGGAUUUGGGCAAUCUAGUAGAGACUGUAAUGCACCACCUCUUAAUUGAAGAGAUGACUUGUCUUGACAGUUGGGAUAGGUUUCCUAUGGUGAGUGCACUAGUAUAUAUGAUGCACAUUGGAUAGGACCUACGGUAAAUCAUGAGCAAAGCUAUCAAUUGUCAUGAUUCACCAAGUUACGAUACUGCAUGGACUCUCAAUCUUGAGAGGACAUUGAACCUGUGCCAAAAUCAACAAAAAGCUUUCACCUAUAGAUGAGACCUUAAAGUGAUCAUAUAUCCCUAUGGAUUGAGUCACUAUUGAUGAAGGUUGGUGGUAAUAGGUAUUCUCAAUAGAGGCACCAUGAUAUCUCAUGAGAUUGAGACGGUGUGUCCCCUUGGGUGAUACAAAGGACAUGUGAUCAUAAAAUCUGUGACCAUAGUAAUUCUUUUAUUGAAAUUUGACAUAUACCCCUUCGAGCUAGAGUAUGUCAGUUGAUUACAUAAUAAGUGGCAUCUAUAACUUAAGGAUUUGAGAGGUAAUCUUGAUAGGUGAUAGCACUACCUUGUUAGAUUAUGGACACCAGUUCAUGGGGAAUCUACAUGCAGUGGAUGAUAUGUCACGAACGCGAGCUUCAUAUCGUUGUUAUUAACAUAGGAUACUGGAGUGCAAUUGAUUCUCUUUAGUAGAAUGUUGAAUCAACUUCAAAAUGGAUUAUGAGGGAGCCAAUACUCCUAUGGGUCUUAAUGGUCCCCACUCUGAGCUCAUAUACCAUGAUGACACAGUUUAUGAGGGUUUGAUUGGCUUUAUGUUCAUUUUUGUGCAUAAGGGCAUUUUGGUAAUUACACAAGGUUACAUAGGGGAUAGUCAAUAAGGUCUUUAGAUUGGGCCAAUUGAUUAAUUAGAUGACCUUAUGUGGUUAAUUAAUCAAUUAUGAUAUGUUUAGGCUAGAUUAAAUGACCCAAGCCUUGAUGAAUUUAAGUCACUUAAGCCUAGCAGAUAACCUUAUAAAUACCCUCUUAUGGGUUAGGGUUUCCUAAUGACUUUCAGUUAAUCAUCUUCCAUCCCUAGAAAGAGAAAGAGAGCCAAAUCUUUCUCCCUUCCAUUGCCCACACUUUGGUAUGCCAAGAUCAUGGUUCAAGUCACUGGGAGGAAGAUCUUGGGUGUACAAGACCUUCGGACUCUUUAAGUUUCUUCUUCGUUGGAUGAAUUUUUAUUUGGGACACAUCUAGAUCAUAAGUAUGUGUUAGAAAAUUUGGCUAAUUCAACUUAAGGUAAUCACUCUAGAGGAGGGGUGAAUAGGGUGAUGAUCUUUUUUUACAAAUUUAAAUUAUGUGAAUGCAAGAGACAAUUAUACUAUGCAAAUAUAUAGUAAAACCAUAUAAAAAUAAUUGCAUAUAAAGUACAAGGGUAGAAAAUAGAGAAUAUAAACACAAGAUUUUUAUAGUGGUUUGGUGCAACUCGGCCUACAUCCAUUCUCCUCUAGCUUCAAUCCCAAGUUUGAGGUUCCACUAAUUCAAGGCUUCCAACCUAACCCUUCAAGCAAUACAAUUGGAUUAUGGUUCCAAUCAAACCUUUUGGACUUUUGGCUCUAAGCACCUUUUACAAUCUUUGAUUCGUGCCUAACUGGUGUUUGCCCUGUUGAUUGGUGUUCAAUCAACUGAUGUGCUUUGAUUUCAGUCCUCAGACGAGAGUAAUCAACAAAAUUUAUAAACCUAUUUCACCAUAUACUAGGGUAGCAUUAGCUAGCAUAGCAUAGUGGCUCUAGGAUCGUCCACAGGGAUGGGUUUUCAAAUUACAAUUGAUAUUAGUUCAAAAACUGAAUUGGUGUUUUUUCUUUUCAAGGUUAGCUUUAAAAGAAAACAUAAGUAUGUGUGAAAAGGUUGGUUUUAAGUGAAACCAAAAAUAAAGUAACUGAAAUUACUUACAAAGAAAAGUGCUUCUUGGAGUUUUAGAUCACUAGGCUCAAGUUCCUUAUACAAAAAGAGAGAUUCCGAUCACUUGGAUCUUUUCCUAGCAUUGGGGAUUUAACAUAUAGUUAUUUCCCGAACCGGUGCGGUACAGAUGCUUCCCCUUAAUGGUUUCAAACACUAAAUCUCUAUCACUGAAUCAUCUUGUAAUGGUUCAUACCUCUCACCUGGUAUUGGUCAUUUAAGGUGAUCAUUAACCUUGGAUUACCCGUCAAAAGCUCGCAAAAGAUAACUAAUGAAUGUCUCCUAGGAGUCCAAAAGCUUACCAAGUGUUGGCUAUUCUAGAUAAUCCUACCUUUAAACCAUCUCCCAAAAGCUCGCAAGAGAUAAACUAGUGGAUCUCAAUGGACGGAGUCCACUUGCCUUACCAAGUGUUGGCCCAAGUGAUUUUAAGGGAUUUUAAGUUAACUAAAAAGAUAAAAACCAUUAACGGGUCACACUUUCUCUUCAUUAAAACCUGAAACAAUGAAACUUCCACUUUUGUAUACGAAACCUUACCUAGCUUCCUUCACUCCAAGAAACAAAAAGCCUAGCCACUCAUCCUCUAGGAAAACAUCCUCAGAGUUUGAUUUGGUAGAAAUAAAAAUAAAAGAGAAAACCAAAUGUGAAGGUAAGGCCGAGCAGAGCUCUGUGUAUUACUUUAUGAAAAACUAUACAAAAUUUGUCUCUAAGAGAAACUCCCCCGAGAUCUCUUUUAAAAGAAAAUUACAAUAGAUAUCAUAUAAAGAGGCUAUUCACCCCUCUUGCUAACUUCCCAACCAUGAAAACUUGUCAAUGGUGGGUUACAAGGAGAAAAUAGGGAUUUACACACAAAUAUUUGAAGAUAAACAUCAAACUGAGUCGGUGCGCAAAUAUCUCAGAUUACAAGUGGAUUUCGCAAGUUCAAACGCAACUUGCAAAAAUUUUGCAAGUUGAAAUUAUGGUUUCGCAAGUUGCGAAAUUGUCCUGCAACUAAUCAGCUCUCUGUCCUACAACAAUUCCUUUCCUCUUCCUAUUUCGCAAGUUGUGAGAAUUUCGCAAGUUGGAUUCCACAACUUGCAAAAUUGUUGGAUGGUUGAUUUCUUUUGUGAUUUUCUUCCUUGCAUCCUCAUUUGGCUUUGGCAAAGGGUUAUGAAGCUCCAAAGCUUAGUUUCUUCAUGAAUUUGAGCUUCAACUUGCUUUGCCAUGAACUAUACAAAGAUCUCCCUCAUUCUUGGAUUGCUUUGGUGAUAAAAAAGCUAUGAAAAACACCAAAACUUAACACAAUUUGAUUAGAAACGAUUGUAAGGGUCUUUAACAUGCCAAUUGAGUUAAAAGGUAAUAGCUACUACUCAAAAGUGUUUAAAAGAGUUAAUUACAAGCUAUAAAAUGACCCUUUUUGAAGUUCAACCCCUUAAGUGAUACCCCUUAAGUGAUACCCCUUAAUUCAAGAGAUGUCUUACUCUUAAACAACCCCUUAAGUGAUACCCCAUACUUGAGAUUCCCUAAGUGAUGCCUCACACUUAGAUUUUUCAUCUCAAAGAUUUACAAAUGAAGAUAGGAAAUAAUCUCACAAAAUCUUAAUACAAAACAUUAGGCUCAAAUGAUACAAGAUAAACUAUGAUUGAAUGGUGCACUAAUAAUAUGCAAGUUUUAAAACAAUGAGUACUAAAAAACACUCUCCUAAGGUUCAAAUAUAUUCAAGAAAGAUUUAAGAAGGUUAAACUCUUGAAACAAUAAAGAUUGAAACCUUUUUAUGGAGGAGAAAUGCCAAACUAGUUGUUGGGGGUUUGUCCAGUCGAGUUCUGGUUUGACCGGUUCACUAACCGUUAGCAUUUAAUGCAUGAUAGGUGAUCAUUGGGCCUUGACCAUCCCUCGACCAGUACUCAACCGGAUAAAGUUCAACCUUAAUCAAUCGAAUAAGCAUUCUAGAAUAGAGAGAAGGUUUUUGCACCUUUCAAUCAGUUGAGUUGAACAAAUAGACGGAUUCCUUAUCCAGUUCAACCGGUUGAGCCAUUUUUGGCUCAACAAUCAUCAUUUUCAACUUAAAACCUUUUAAACAAGUUUAGAAAGCAUUUGACACAAGGAUUUAGUUGAAAACAUUAAAUCAUCCUAUUUUUAAAAGAUUUAAAACAAAAUACCUCUUGAAUGAUUUUGGUGUAUAAGUAAAUAAUGUAAUGCAUGAAAAACCCAGUGCGCCAACAACCUUACAAAGAGAUCUUAUGAGGCUUAGGUAUUGAAAAACACUUCUCUUUAAGGCAGACAACAUCGUGUGAAUACCAAAGGGGAACUCUACGUUCCUAGGGAAAGAUGCCUCGUCAGUACGUCUUGAGGUUGUUCACUAACUUCGGGGUUACCGGCUUUGAGAGGAGCCCUUUGAUGACAUUUGGGCAUGCAACUCUUCAUUUUCUUCCUUGAUUCGCCUUGUUUGGUGGAUCAAAGAUUGCAUAUGCCAGUCAUUUUUGCACUAGGUUCUCUCCAUGCUUUCACGCCAGCCAAAGUAGCUUUCGUUACCCAUAGUUGAGGAUCGGCUUCUAAAGGGUACUAACAUCCUUAGUCAUUCCCACAGAUGACACCAAUGUUGGUUCUGAGUCGGCUGAAGUCAAAUUCAUCCAACUUAACGGAAGUUUGACAACCUUCCUCCAUUUUUUGUGCCUCUUAGAGAAUCCACCUAGCAGUAAUGAGAUUGGGCGAACUCCUUUCUUGCACAAAAGAAUGUUCAGAUGAGUACUUCGGGUACGCCCUUCGAAGCUUAAGUGAGGCAAAAAUAGCUCAAACUACUUAAUGAGAGAGAGUGGAUAGGUGAAUAUGUGCCUACCUUGUUCGUGCUUUUUGAGGGGUUUAUAUAAUGUUGAUGAGAAUGCCACUAUAGUGCUUACUAGACACUUUAACUUUCUUCUAUAAUGAUGAUUGUCUUGCAGGCGGUUGGGCAAUCAUCAAAAUUUUGGGUGGCUGAUAGGUGCCAUCAACUAACGUGCCAUGAUCUUAGACCAUGCAGUAACCUGUUCCCUCAGUCUGUUGAUGGCCUAAGGUUAUGUGCAACAAUUAAUUGACAUGGACUUGAGGGCUAGAAGAGGUCCCAUCGGCCGUUCACAUGUCAAGUGUGAAUGAUCACUCAUGCUAGUGGGUCUUGAAGAUUUGACUAGACAACCUUACCUAUUUGGGAGGUCCAACCUCCCAUUGCCGUUGUUUUGGCCUUAUAGGAGAAAAGGGCUUUCUCAUGUAUGGUGCUAGAGGGACUAGUCGUGAUCCAGAUGAGUUGCAUACCCAUGCUAGAUGGUCGAAGUGUCCGGGUUGGAAAUGGAGGGAAGCCUCCCACAAAUAUGAGGGAGCCUUAUGAAAACGGAUCCUUAGGGCUUAAGAAGGGGUUUUCAAUUUUAAGGUUUGCCUUUUCACCCAAGGAUGUGAAUGGGAAGAUGAGGCGAAGUUAAAAGAUUGGUGAAGCAAAGUGAGGGCAAGGUAGGGUUUGAAUAAAGGAAAGUAUACACUAUUAAUGAAGAUGAUAAUCUCUAGAAAGAAAAACUAAGGUAAACUAGGGCUUUAAUAAUAAUUUUCAAUCUACACUAGUGAAGAGGAUAUCUUCGAAAACCAAAGUUAGGGCUUCAAUAACGAAUUUCAAUCUACAAUGGUGAAGACAAUAAUCUUCGAAAACCAAAUCUAUAAUGAUGAAGAUGAUUGAAAACUAAAUCUAUACUAGUGAAGACGAUUGGAAAGCAAAUCUACACUGGUGAAGACAAUGAAACCAAAUGUAGGUCUUCUAAACUAAACGCUUUUAAGGAUUUUCCUUUUUUUUUUCCUUUGUUUUCAAGAAAGGCAAACUCUUUAGAAAACUAAAAAAACUAAUGCAUUCUUAGAUCCAGAUCACUAUUUCCAACAUGGUAUUUGGAUUGCCAGCUUGCAUUUUUUAUUUUUUUAUUUUUUUAAUAGUCAUUGGCAUUUUAGGGAUUAUUGAAGGAUAAUAUCAUUCAGCUCAAUUUCCCAAAUUAGUUAGGUCUUACACUCAAAUGUGAAACUUAUAUGGAUGUUAGGCCAAUUAUCAAACUCAUCUGCCCUAAAACAUAAUUUCCCUUUUUUAAAAUAGUUGUUAAACAUCUAUCCCAAACACGUUUAACCCUUUGAAUUGCUUGUAUGUUAACCUUGUUUCCUUUUCUUCAUGCAACAUGGCUUAUUGAUGGUUGCAUUGAAUCAUUAUCAUUCACCAAUUCCAUGCAACUAUGGACUACAUUUCAAAUCCCUCGAACAUAAAUGGUAAUUCCAAAACAACUCAAGUAUAAUCUUUUCAACCCUUUCAAAUGAUUUAAUUAAUUGAUUUUUGAAUAUAUUCAUAUAUUUUUUUGAGCAAUUUUUAGGCAUAUAACAUAAAUCUCUUUUUUAUAUAUAUAUAAAAGGUUUUAUAUUUUAUAUUACAAUUUCCUUUUGUUUUUUCAUCUAAAAAACAAAACAUAAAACCUUAAUAAACGAGUUUUGUCACAAUCCCUUAACAAGUAAUCUAUUUUUUAAAUUACUUUAACAUUUUUAGAUAUAUUGAUUCAAUCUAAUUUACUUUUAAUAUUUUUUAUAAAAUAUUUUUACUUUAUAUGACUAUAAAUUAAUUACUAUUGAUUGCAUAUUAUAGAAUAUAUAUUCUAAAAUAUAUCUUAUUGACAAUAUAAUCAUAAGAUGUUAUAUCCAUAUCCUAACAUAUUAUAUACUUUUAUUUUGUGCAAUUAGCAACAUGGUGGGAAGUGGCAAGCAGCUUAACGGAAAUGUCAUGUGCCAAUGUGCCAUGCGUGUCCCUUCCCUUAGUGAGUCUGAACUGCUCCAACAUUUCCGACAUGUUAUUUUUUACUUAGCUCUUAAGUAUUUUCGUCUCGUUUUCGUUAACCCCAUCACAUUUCGCCACAUGGAUCUAAGCCUCAUGGUCCUUUCGUUCGUACAAUGAAUGUUCCCCCAAUUCCUUAUCUACACUAAAACUCCAUACUCGCCAUCUACUCAACCACUUCUCUACUCUAGAGUUUGGGUCCUUUAUCUCUGCACGUGUCUAUGGCUUUUCACCCCAACAAGUAUGGCAUUACAAGGGCAAUAUCGUCAUUAAAGACCCAAAAGGGAAACCAAUGGCAUUAUCUUCCUUUUGGUCUAUUCUAUUUAUAUUGUAAGUUAUUCGUGAUGACUUCUCCCAUAAAAGCUAAAAACCACUCCAAUAGAGCACACUUCACUUCUUCAUUUUUUUUUUUCCAGAUAAGCUCAGAAAGCCCAGCUCAUCCCUCAACUCCCCGAUGGGUUUGAUGAAUGUUCUUAAAUUCUCAACUGCAUGCUUUGAUCUUCUUAUCUGGUAUAUUGUCCACGCAUUUUCUUGUCAUUGGAAAAUUUUGGAAAAUGAAAUGGAAUUCUAUGUUUGAUGACAAAACUGGGAUUUGCUUUGAUUUCUCCAUGUUGGUUUUAUCCCUUUUGUUUGAAUUGUCCACAUUCUUGUCAUUGGUUGUUAGUUAUUUGUUUGGAUUUCUACUUGUAGGCCUCUGUUUGCACUGGGUUAUCCUCUAUAAAUCUUGGUCUUACACACCAAGAUAUGAUGAUUCAUUUACUCUUUUCUUGUUCUAUGAAUUCUUAGUUCUGUUACAUUUAUUGGGUUGGAAAACUGAAAAAGGAAAGGAUUAUUCGUUAUUAUCAUAAUAAUCAUCAACGUCAUCUCAAUUAUUCACAGAUGUGCAUCAAUUCAGGUAAUUGAGACUAACUCGAUCUCAGACAUUCAGAAGUUGGUGGCAUAUUGGGUUCUAUUUUCCUUGAUUUCACUUUUUGAUCGUACUUUUUCCAAGCUCCUUGAAUGGUAAUUUUGUUCAACUUCAUUCCAUCAUAUGUGGCUCUAUUUGUUUCAUUUCUUUGCCCUUCAGGAAUUUGGAGUUGCCUUUUUUAGUUUUCUUCCCUGUGAAAAUAAUCGAGAUGUUUAAUGUUCCAAGCCUCCAUGUAUUUUAUUUUCCUUCAUUUCUCUGCUUUGAUAAAUCCCCAUGAUUUGAUCAGCAAAAAGGCUAUAACAUUUGACAAAGAAAUGCUUUAUUUUGGUUUUUUAAGUACAACAAUUUUCAUUUGGAGAAAUGGUCUAAAGGGUAUCGGUGUUUGGAUGAAUCAUGGAAUUUUCUCGCUAAUUUGGGAUUUAUUCUCAAUUUCAAUAUCAUUGUGGAUAUUUCAAAAAUUAAUGAAAUAUAUAUGAUGGAAUGUGAUUUUCUUGUUUAAGAAAAGUUUUUCUUUAAAAAUUUAGGUAACCCUGACCUACCUUAUUGUGCUACUCGAAACACAAAACAAAAGUACAAGUAAUUUAGUAACUAAAUUGCACACUUUUUGAUAGUUCAAGGAAGUGGUGUUAGCUUUGGAAAUAAGAUGGAUCUACUAGUUUUUAUUUCUCAUCUUUAUAGGGAACUUUCCAUAAUAUAGCUUAUAAAUACCAUAAUCACAGUGAUGAAUAAUUGUCUUGUUUGAAAGCAUGGUUGCACUUAUUUGCAUGGAAUUUGUCUGCGUUGAAAUUAAAUUAAGCUUUAUGCAUCAUUUGGAUGCUGAGAAACAAAUGAAAAUAGAAAAUUCAAAAUUUGACAAGUUUGUGUAGGGAAAUUGGAUCUAAUCUCUUAAUCGAAGCUUAAUUAGGGCAAAUGUUGAUCCUCUUUGGACCUAUUGAAAGCUCUAAUCUGUGCACAAUUCUAAUGUUUUUGUUUCCUUAAUUUCUUUUUCAACUUUUCAACAAAGCAUCAAUUUGCUAUAAUAAAUGAGAACCAACUUGACGAUGAGAAAAAUGACUGGUGAUGAUGUCAUAGAGAAUCGCAGAUGAGAACAACCAAAAAUACUAGGAUUGGUACCACUGAUGGUAAUGAAGAAAACACAAAAAUGGUGCAAAUGGUGAACAGGAAACUCAAAAUGGAAUGGGAAAAGAAACCUAAACAAUAGUCUCCUAUAUAAAGCACACAACAUGUACAUCGAGGCAUCUGAAAGGACACGCUGCCUGAGAAGUCACUCUAAUUGAUGUGACUCCUCAUGACGUGGGUGGUGGACAUAUGUCCCAUGGUGCCAAAAAUUUCAAACACUCAAGCAACCGAAUACUUUCACUUAGUCAUUUAAAGCCUAGCUAGACUCAAUUGCAAGAAUUAAGGGCAUUGUGGGAUGCUCACCACCGUCUAUCAUGGUCCUCAAACACUGUCUGGUGUGAGACAUAUUGGCACAAGAGCCAUGUAGCUUCUCUAUCCACCCCAAGAUACUCCUAGGGUAGCAAACGAACACAAUCCGACCAAACACUAUGCAUUCCUACCCUACAAGCAUUAAUUUCAAUGAGCAAUAAGUGUAUUAACACAUUAAUGAAUGCAACCGUUAUAACGCUAAAACGCCAUACUUUAAGGUUCAUCAAGACACAACAACCAUUAUGGGCCGACAAUUAUUGGCGUUAAAUAUGGUAAUGCGCAAUCAAAGGCUCAAUUAAGGCCCUUUAGAAGACGUUACUAUUGGGCAAAGAUAAAUAACCAUUUUUUACCACAAGAAAGUCUGAUGCCAUUUUUUUCACAAAAACUUUUGCUUAAGUCUUCCAUCUCUAACCUAAGCUUUGAAGGGGUGUACUUGGAAAACCUAUCCGAACAUUCCUUUAUGUAGGUGCAAUCAUCGUUUAUGUCACGCGAAGGCUAGUCAAAGACCUUUAUUGGUCGUGCACCAAUAAAUCUAUUUAGUAUAUCUCAUUUAUCCGUUCAAGUGAGAUGAAGGAGUGACCUAAAGAUAGAUUGGAAACAUCAUAGUUUCUUAUAUUGGUAAGGCAGCAACAACCUCGGCUAGUGCAUCAACCUGCUCGUUUUCCUCUAGGGGUACGCGUUUGAUAAACCAUUCAUUCAAUUUUUCUGUUCAAGUGUACCAAAGAGAGGUAAUGAGCCAUGCAUUCAUCUCAAGCUUCAUAUUUUAGUUAGAUUUGUUCACCCACUAGUUGUGAAUUGCUUUUGAUUUCUACUUUCAUGGUUGUGAGAGCUAAGGCUAGAUCGUCUCAUAAGAAUUGCUUCAUAUUUUGCCUCAAUAUUAGAUACUGGAAAGUUGAGACAGACGACUUGUUCAAUUUGCUCUCCUGUAAGGAAUUGUUGUGUUAGUCCUAUCCUAGCUUCUGAUGUUCUAGAGGCUUCGUCUACAUGGAGAACACGCCAUUGUUCUUCAUUGUUAGACCUUGUCCAUUUUUGGGGUGGUUCGACUAUGAAAUCAAUGAGAACUUGCUAUUUGAGAUACUAAUGAGGUUUGUACCGUAUGUAAUAUUCACUCAAUUUGAUUGCCCAAUUCACCAUUCGACUAGAUAGAUUUAGCUUGUGCAACGUGACCCACAACGGUUGAUUUGUCAAGACCGUUAUUUGGUGCGCCUGAAAAUAUGGACAAAGCUUCUUGGCAGCGAUCCGUAAGUUCAGAGCCAUUUGUUCCACUUAAGAAUAUCGUGUUUUUGUGUCAAUCAUAGCUUUUCUCACAUAGUAAAUAAGUCUUUGUUCAUUACUCUAAUUGUGUGGAAACAAUAUGACAUUGACAGCAAAGUUUGACACAACCAGGUACAUGUAUAACUCUUCUCUAGCUUCAAGACUACUUAAGAUUGGUGGCUUCGUAAGAUACUGUUUGAUGUCUUUAAAGGCAUGCUCACACUCAUCCAUCUAACUAGACAUCUUUGCUCCCUAGAGUUUGCUCAAGAAAGGUCUGAGCUUAUUUAUGAAGCGUGUUAUGAACCAACCUAAGGUGAUUAGACACCCAGUUAGACGUUGCACUUCCUUCUUGCUAGUAGGAGCAGGGAUUUCUAACACUACUUUCACUUGAGCCAGAUCGACUUCAAUACCCCCUUUGAGUCACCAUGAACACAAGAAACUUCCACUCACUUACUCUAAAUGCAUAUUUUAUUGGAUUAAGCUUCAUGUCAUACCUGCACAUUAAACUGAAUGCUUCUUCCAAAUGGAGGAGCUUCUUGGAACGAGUUAUUCUCUUAAUGACAAUGUCAUCGAUAUAGACUUCCAACGUUCGACCUAUCAAGGGCUUAAAAAUAUGGGUCAUCAACUGUUGGUACGUAGCUCCAAUGUUCAUUAACCCAAGCGACAUGAUCUUGUAAAAGUACAACUCCUUAUGUGUAAUAAAUGUCAUCUUCUCUUUGUCAUGUGGAAACAUUGGUAUCUGGUGGUAUCCAAAAGAAGCAUCAAGAAAAGACAACAUUCCAUGCCUGGUUGUGGCAUCGACUAUCUAAUCUAUCUAGAGCAAUGGGAAGCUAUCUUUCAAGCAGACUUCAUUCAUAUCCACGUAGUCUGCGCACACCUGCCAUUUUUCUCCUUUCUUGGUACCACUACCACAUUUGUUAACUAGUCCAAGUAGGUCACCUCCUUGAUAAAUCUUCCUUUUAAUAGCUUCUCAACUUCUAUCUAGAUAAUUUUUUGAUGAUCCAACUAGAAACGUCAGACUUUAUAUUGUAUGGGUCGUGCUGUAGGAAGAAGGUUCAACUUAUGAGAGCUCACCGCUAGGUCUAUUCCAAGCAUUUCCGAAUGAAUCCACACGAGGAUAUCCUUGUUUUUACAAAGCAUUUCACCAACAUUACCACAUUCAUCCCUAGUUAGCAAAAAAUUAGCGUAAGUCAUCUGCUUAUUAUUUUUCGACAAAGAUAGCUAUUGUAAUAGGCUGAUUGCCAAUGAGUCUCUAUCCUCUAGUUUUCCUUCGACCUAAUUCUAUAAUUGUUAUUAGCUCUCUCUUGAUGAUUUGAGUUCAUCUUUAGUUGGGCCUGAACUCCAUCGCCACUUAGUAACACUACUAGGUGGCUAAUUGGAUUCCAUGUGGAUCCACUUACCCAAAUUCUGUCAGGUAGCUCACCAUCUUAUGAUAGGUGGAUGGAAUAACUUUCAUCUUAUGUAGGUACGACAACCUUAUGAUGGUGUUGUACGACGGUAAAUCCUCUACUAUAGAAAAUCAUACGUUGAGAGUAGGCGGGUUGGCUUGGACAAGAAGUACCACGUCGCAUAGUGAUAUUGUGGCAACCCUAUUAAACCCAAACAAAAGUCGAACUAGAUUUUCUAAGGCAGAUGACGAACAUCCCAUUUUCCUGUAGGUUGACAUAUGCAAUAAAUUGGAAUGAUCAUUUUAGGAAGGAUCACUUGAUUAAUGUUAAUUGAAGGGAAAGUGAUUGGGUCAUUGACUGGUCGGGCACUUUCGACAGUAAAUGUGCACUGAACUGCACUUACUCUUUCCCUCCCUGUAGUCGCACAGAGCAUUCGUCUCCUUUGUUGUUUGGAGUGAUAUUUGUCAUCUACUAUUUCCCCAUGGAUAUAGUUAAUCACUACUCGAUGUGUUGUGGGAGAGUCAGGAACUCACUCUGACACUUCACGUGUCAUUUCUUUAUGUCCACCAGUUGCUCAGACAUACAACUUGAGAUGUCCGGUAAUGAUUAGUUUCUCCACCAAGUAGUGCAAAUUUUUGCACUCUUCUGUGGUGUGCCCAUGCUCCUUAUGAUAGAAUCAUCGCAAUCCUCGAUCAUGCUUGGACGAAUCAGUUUUGAUGGGCUCUAGCCACUUGAACUCGAGCAGCUCUCAAAUCAAGAGGAGAAUUCUAUCAUAAAAAAUGGUCAACGGGGUGAGCCUAGGCGAUUAUCAUUGUUGUUGUCUUUCUUGUCCUUGAUUAGUCUAUCUAGACUGGCUUGAGGGCUUUAAGCUCUUAGCCUUCUUUUUUAAUUGCUCGGUUUAUAACCAGGAUUUGUUGAGAGGUUACCUAAACAUCCUCCUCAAGCAUGACAUGUUUGCCCACUCGUCUAAAUAGGUCAUUCAUUGUAGUGGGCAACUUUUUGGCCAUGGACUUGAAGAAUUGAGUGCUUGGACUGAUGAUCCAUUUGAAGAUCUGCAGGAUAGCAUCCAUGUUGUAAGAUUCCAUCUAGAACACCGCUUGUCUGAAUCACUUCAUGAAGUCCCUUAGCGAUUCAUUCUCCUACAUCUGAAUGUUCUAUAAGGUGCUUAUAUUCUGCUUUUGGCGAGCAAAACAUAAAUAAUGGCCCACAAAGGCCUCUAAAACAUCUGUCAUCUGUUGUUGGAAGUGCAUCAGGUGAACAAAAGAGUCACCAUCCCAUAGUAAAUAGUAAAUUUGGGCACCGGAAACCCCUGGGCAGCUCAUAACUAAUGAUAUGUGGGUCAAACGACAUGAAGAGCAUGUCAUCCAAUCAUCUACUUAUGGAGUCAAGAGGGGCUUUUGUCAAUGGGUUAUUUGUCGAUUGUAGUUCUAGUAUUGAACAUUAAGGCAGACGGCUUGGUGAUGCCUCAUCGUUUGAUUGGCCUAAUUGUGCUUUCAAGGCCUCCAAUAUGCAUGGCGAUGCUAGUGUUCUUCUCUCCUGAUACCCAAGAUAGGCUUUCAGGGCAUCUGAGAGACGUAAGCCCCAUUCUUAACCCAUUUUCCAUUUUUCUCCAAUAGAGCUUGCAACCUCUUUCGCUUGAGUUCGAUCGACUACUGAAUGCACUAGUUCAAGUAAUGUUAGCGAACUGCUAGUAGACAAUCCCUCAUCCACUGUUUGUAGAGACGACUUAGUGUAUCAUUGAAGAACUUUCAUUGUUUGGCUUCAAACUACUCUUGAAGUCGUCUAUUGGUUGGAGGUACGAUGACUUUUUUAUCAGCACCCCAUAGCCACUUGUGCUCGUAGCUCUUGGUUCUCUUGCUGUAGUUGUUCUGCCUGUUGGACAGGGACUACAUAGGUUAUUCAUAUUCUUCUUGCUUUUUUUCUAUCUUUCCUUGCCAAGCUUGGAAUCGCUCGUCAACAUUUGCAGAAUGAGUUGCAGGAGGCGUGUUAACCAUCGUGUUUUUUAGGCAUUUGUGGUUGAUUCCCAUAGACAAUGCCAAUGUUGGUGCACGACCAGUAAAAAAAGGUGUUUGGCUAGUCUCCAUGUAACAUAGAUGACGAUUGCACCUGCACAAAGGAAUGUCUGAAUGGGUUUUUCAGGUACACCUUUCCAAAGCUUAGGUCAGAAAUGGAAGACUUAAGCAAGAGUUUUUGUGGAAAAAUUGGUAGCAUACUUUUCUUGUGGUUAAGAAUAACUAUUUAUCUUUGUCCAACUAUAAUAUCUUCUCAGAUGCCUUAAUUGAGCCUUUGAUUGUGCAUUAUCAUCUUUAAUGUCAAUGAUAGCCAACCCAUAAUGGUUGUUGUGUCUUGAUGAACCUUAAAGGUUGGCGUUUUAACCUCAUAAUGAUUGCAUCCAUCAAUGCGUUAAUGCACUAAUUGCCUAUUGCAAUUAAUGCUUGUUGGGCAAGAAUGCAUAGUGCCCGAUUAGAUUGUGUUUGUUUGGUACCCUAAGAGUACCCUGGGGUGGACAAAAAAGCCACAUGGCUCUUGUUCUAACAUGUCUCGACUAGACAGUGUUUGAGGAUCAUGUUAGAUGGUGAUGAGCAUCCCACAGUGAAGACGUAUGAUGAAAGCAAAGGUAGGGCUUCUAAACCAAACGCUUUUAGGGAUUUUUUUUUUUUUUUCAACAAAGUUGACCUCUUCAAGGAAAAAAAAAAAGGUUAAAAAAACUAUUGCUUUUUUGGAUCCAAAUCACCAUUUCCAAUGUGAUAUUUGGAUUUCCACCAUGUAUUUUUUUUUUUUUUAACAGUCAAGGACAUUUUAUGGAUUAUUGAAAGAUAAUAUCUUUCAACUUAAUUUCCUACAUUAAUUAAGUCUUAGGCUCAAAUGUGAAACUUAAGUGGUUGUUAGGCCAUCAAACCCAUCUGCCCUAAAGUAUAAUUUCCCAUUUUCAAAAUAUAUAGUUGUUAAACAUCUAUCCCAAACUAUUGUAACCCUUUGAAGUGCUUGGUAUGUUAACCUUGUUUCCUUUUCCUUAUGCAACAUGGCUAAUUGAUUGUUGCAUUGAAUCAUUAUCAUUCACCAAAUCCAUUCAACUAUGGACUUACCUUUCAAAUCCCUCUAACAAAAAUGGUAAUUCCAAAACAACUCAAGUCUAAUGUUCUCAACUCUUUCAAAUGAUUUAAUUAAUUGGUGUUUGAAUAUACCUCUUAUAUUUUUUUAGAGCAAUUUUUAGGCACAUAACAUAAAUUUCUAAUUUUUUUUUAGAAAAGGUUUUAUAUUUUAUAUUUUAUAUUACAACUUCCCCUUUUUUUUCCAUCUAAAAAACAAAACAUAAAACCUUAAUAACCGAGUUUUGUCACAAACCCUUAACAAAUAAUCUAUUUUCCAAAAAUUACUUUAACAUCUUUAAACAUAUUGAUUUAGUAUACUUUACUUUUAAUAUUUUUUGAAAAAUAUUUUUAUUUUAUAUGAUUAUUAAUUAAUUAAGAUUGAUUGGGUAUGGUAGAAUAUAUAUUCCAAAAUACAUCGUAUUGAGAACAAUAUCACAAGAUAUUAUAUCCAUAUCUUAACAUAUUAUAUACUUUUAUUUUGUGCAAUUAGCAAUUGGACGGAAGGUAGGGAGCCGGCUUAAUGGAAAUGUCGCAUCUCACGUGUGUCCCUUCCCUUACCAAGUCUCAACAAAGGAUGAAAAUAUCGGUAAUCACGGAUAUAUCGGUACUUCGAUUUUACGGAUAUAUUAGAUAUAUCAGAGAUAUAUUGACGGAUAUUUUGGAAAAAAAUAUCGAUAAGCCUAAAAUUGAUCAAAAUUUAUAAAAAUAUAAAAAAAACUUCAUAAAAAUGUAAUUAAAAGAAGGUCGUAUAAGUUACUCAUGUUGAUCAUGUGAUAUAUCACGAGAUAUAAUCGAUUUUUGGGAAUUUCUCACGAAAAUAUCGCGACAUUUCUUCCUUGUCUCGACUGCUCCAAGAUUUCCUAUACGCCCUUCUUCGCUUAGCUCUUAAGUCUUUUCUUCUCCUCUUCCUCAAACCCAUCACAUUUCGCCGCGUGGAGCUAAGUCUCAAGGUCCUUUUGUUCGUACGAUGUAUGUUCCCCCAAUUCCUCAUCUACCUUGAAACUCCAUACUCGCCAUCUACUCAACCACUUCUCUACUCUAGAGUCUGGAUGCUUUAUCUCCGCGAGUGUCGAUGGCUCUUCACCCCAGCGAGUAUGGAAUUACAAGGGCAAUAUCGUCAUUAAAGACACAACAGGCAAACCAAUGGCAUUGUCUUCCUUUUGGUCUAUUUUAUUUAUGCUGUAAGUAUUCGUGCUUGACUUCUCCCGCGUCUCUUAUAAAAACUAAAGAAAACCACUCCAACAGAGCACACUUCAAGAAUCUUCUUUUUUUUUUUCUUUCCUCUUUCUCUUUACAUAUAUACUGAGAAAGCCCAGCUCAUCCCUCAAUUCCCAGAUGGGUUUUAUGAAUGUUCUCAAGUUCUCAGCUGCAUGCUUUGAUAUUCUUGCCUGGUAUGUUGUCCACGCAUUUUCUCGCCAUUGGAAAUUUUUGGAAAAUGAAGUGGAAUUCUCUGUUUGAGGACAAACAUGGGAUUUUCUUUGAUUUCUCCCUGUUGGUUUUAUCUAUAUUCUUUGGAUUACCCACAUUCUUGUCAUUGAUUGUUAGUCAUUUGUUUGGAUUUCUACUUGCAGGCCUCUAUUUGCACUGGGUUAUCCUCUGUAAGUCUUGGUCUUACACCUCAAGAUAUGAUGAUUCAUUUACUCUUUUCUUGUUCUACGAAUAGUUCAGUUACAUUUAUUGUGUUGGGAAACUGAAAAGGGAAAGGAUUAUUCUUUAUUAUCGUAAUAAUCAUCAACAUCAUCUCGGUUCUUCACAGAUGUUCUUCAAUUCGGGCAAUUGAGACUAACUCAAUCUCAGACUUUCGGAAGUUGGUGGCGUAUUGGGUUCUAUUUUCCUUGAUUUCACUCUUUGAUCAUGCUUUUUCCAAGCUCCUUGAAUGGUAAUUUUGCUCAACUGCGUUCCACUAUAUGUGACUCUGUUUGUUUCAUUUCUUUGCCCUUAAGGAAUUUGGAGUUGCUUUUUUCAGUUUUCUUUCCUAUGAAAAUAAUCGAGAUGUUUAAUGUUCCAGGCCUCCAUGUAUUUUAUAUUCCUUCAUUUCUCUGCUUUGACAAAUGCUCACAAUCUGAUCAGCAGAAAGGUUAUAACAUUUGAAAAAGAAGUGGUUUAUUUUUGUUUUUUUUAAGUACAAUAAUUUUCGUUUGGAUAAAUGGUCUGAAGGGUGUUUGUGUUUGGCUGAGUUCAUGGAAUUUUCAAGCUAAUUUGGGAUUUAUUCUCAAUUUCAAGAUCAUUGUGGAUAUGUCAGAAAUUAAUGAAAUAUAAAUGGUGGAAUGUGAUUUUCUUGUUUAAGAAAAGUUUUUCUUUGAAAAUGCGGGUGCACCAGACCUACCUUAUUGNNNNNNNNNNNNNNNNNNNNNNNNNNNNNNNNNNNNNNNNNNNNNNNNNNNAUCAGAUUCAACUGUGAUAGCCCGGAAUUUAAUUCAGUAUUCGACUCUUCUGGGAACAUGUUGGUUAUGGUUUCUCUCUCACUGUCCUCUUCUUUACACAUGACUUUUCAGUUGAGGAGCACAAAGCCUAAUGUUGAAGUGAAAGAGAUCAAAGCACCUGCAGCACCGGAGAAAAAAGGGGAACAGGUAAGUACUCUAAUGUGGCUAUUUAAUUUCUAUGGAGGCAGAUCCCCAGAGAAAUGCUGUUCAUGUAAAUUACUGAUGCAUUUGAUUCAAUGGCCACGGUUUUAAAAGAAAAACCACUUUAUGUAUGUUUCUGUGAAUGAGAGAACAAGUUUAUGGAUUAAAUGAUAUUUUUUAUGGUGAAAUAAUCAAUAAUUUUCAAAAUAAUAAUACAUUCCUGCAUGUUUUUGCAAUUCAUGAAUUCCUUUUAUGAUUGAUUCUUCUCACCUUUUUUCUCACCUCAGUGGAAGUGUGAAGAGCCUAAUGUUGCUCAAAAAGAGAUCCAAGUAGUCAAAGUAACAGAGAUAAAAAAUGGGGGGGAUGGAGCAAAGAGGGUAAGUUUUGCUUUUUAUUUAUAAAGUAGGCUGUCUUCACACAAGGAUUAUUAUUAUUAUUAUUGUUAUUAUUUUAAGACAUGAAUGUUGAAUGAUUUUGGAAUUGUCCUUGAAUCAUGUGAAGUGUGAAUGGUCUAAUGCUGCUAAGGAGGAGGUCAAAGUGACAGAAGUAACACAGAGAACAUUUGGUGGUACAGCACAGUGGGUAAGGUUUCAUGUCAUAUUUAAAUGGCUCCUCAUAUUUCACUAGGAUUAAUUUUGCCCCUACAAACUAUUUGGCUACAAGUUAAGACAGAGUUCCAGAUGCUGAUAAAGCUGAGACAUAAGUAAUGAACGAAUUUAGACACAUGCACAACUCUUGUGUGAAACACAAUGAGAGUGGAAAAUAGCUAAGUUGAAAAAUGGCCAAAUACUAUUUUGUAGUUCCCCCUACCACUUAAGUAAUUUUUGUCAUCCUUUGUGAAUGGAAAAUGCAGUCCCUUCAGUAAUUCCAUUAUAUUCAUGACUUGGUGAAGCAUAUAACCAUUAGUGUCUUACCCUAAGUCGACCUUUAAUGAUGAUCCAUUGAGAUGGGUCUGACUUUUGUCAACCCUCUUAUUCCCUUGAUCAUAGAGGUGAAACUUAGGGGGCUUAACCCACUUUUCAAUCUUAUUGGAUAUAUGGCACGUGGUAUCCUCUUCAUCUUGAAAGAGUGAAGUGGUCAUACUCUUUCCUCUGAGUCCAUUGUGGCCAUGCACUUCAGGCUCAUUGGGCUGAGUGAAAGGAUUCCCUUCUGCUUCAAAUCAUAGAGAGAUAUGCCAUGGUCAGCCUCUUUAAUUCAAGGGAUUGAAGUACUCAAAUCCAUUUCUCUGUAUCCAUCUUAGUUCUGCAUUCAUGUCUCAUGGUUAACCAAGAAGAUCCAGCCUCCAUCCAUGAGAUCAGCAUCUGCAGGUUUAUGACACCACCCUUCCUUUGCAUAGGAAAGGGAUCAUUAAGCCAUGUGUCGGAUGACAGAAGUCAUCAUUCAGGUUAUCUUGAGAACUAAGGAAGUUGGAAUUCUAAUUAUUGCAUAUGGUUCUUGAUGUUUAGCCAAUAUACUAUAGGAUUUUAAGCAUCAUGCUCACGUGCAUUGUGGUUGCUUAUCAGCUAUAUGGUUUGCCAAAAUGAGGGACUGAUUAUGGUCAUAAGUACCUUUUUCCCAUUAAUUUCUUGCAUGUGCUCUGCUGAGAUUAUGUUUUUGACAGUCCAAAUCAGGGCAAACCAACAAACAGCUUUAUGUUAACUUUUACAAACUGCCAUAUUUUCAGGUUAAACAAACAGAGAUAAAUCUUGGUGAAACUAGAAGUAAUACAACCUGUGCUGUGGAGAUAAAAGAAAGGGCAGCAGCACUGGUGGCUGCAGAAAUUGAGGCAUGUAGAGACGAUAGAACCCCCAAGAUACCUCUUCAUGAGAAAGUCCAGAAAGAGUGGGCUUGUGCUGUGUGCCAGUUCACAACCCAAACUGAAGCGACCUUCAAUUCCCACCUUCAAGGGAAGAGACAUCAGGCCAUUUCUGAGCAGCUGAGAGCCAAAAAUCAGGCAACCAAAACCAAUUGUUCCCCAUCUGCUUCAAUGGCCAAGAAAUCUGAUCAGUCCACCAAAGAGGAGCAACCGAAGUGUACUUCCAAUCUGAAUUCCAAAAACAAUGGAAUCUCAGCUGCUUCAACAGUGAAGAAACUUGAUGAGACCAAAGAUGAUGAGCAACAAAAGUCUGCAUCUAGCAAUGGACCGAACCAGAAGAAUAACAAAAAGCAAGAGGUACAGACCAAUGAGCAAGGCCGUCAGAAGAACUUAAGGCAAACUGGUGAUGGAAUGAAAGAGUUGAGAUCAUGGUGCAAUAUCUGUAAUGUAAGCUGCACAAGGGAGCUUGACCUGGCCUCGCAUCUCAAUGGAAGGAGGCACUUUGAUAGGAUAAAGCAGCUGUCUGAAUUAUGGUGCAGUAACUGCAAUGUAAGGUGCAACAGUGAGGUUGAUAUGGC